CCCAGGUCACGUGAGAAAUCGUGGCGGUACCUCCCGAUUACCAUUGAUGUUGUCGAAAAUUAUGAACCGCACGAAAGGCUCGUCGACCGAAUAACUCGAGUUUUGGGUGGGAAAAGACCGAUCAGGUCAGGGCGGCGACAUCUCUCUCGUGGAGAAUUCUUCUGUGCAACUUCUUUGUUGGUGCUUUGCAGUGAUUAUGGUGGAGGUAACCUCCUCUUUCAGAUGAGGUGUAGGGAAAUCCUUUUUGCCUGUCACGCGGGUAUCCUAAAAAGCAGUCAAUCACGAUCGAACUAACAAGAUUUGGAGAGAGUGCAUGCUAUGCGCAGGGUAUAGUGUUGUGGGGAUCUAAACUUGAAGAAUCGAUGGUUUCUCUUUGAUACCACCAUAAUUUGUUUGCACGUAAAGAGGAAGGCUGAUCAACAAGGAGAAUAGGAGCUCUUGGAGACAAAUAAGCUUCUGUCGAGUGCAGAGGAGAAAGAACCGAGUAAGUAUAUGAGAUACAAAGAGAAACAAUUUGCGAGAGAGAGAGUCAGAUGGAGGAAUGGCGACCCAAAAAGUUGUAGAAAGAGUGGGGGGAGGCGAGGAGGUGGCACUAAUUAUAGGCAGCUUGAAGACGGCACUGCCAUUGGGGCCCACGGGCUUUACGGGUUCCUCGCCCAAGUAUCGAUGGGAAUGGCCUGACGAAGUCAAACAUAAGGCCGUCUAAAUAAUAUCGCCGUCACAAGAUGGAGUCUCUUGACUCGGUGCAUGCAUACCAAAUGAAGUGGCCAAGGGUAACCAGGUGGAGUUCAUUUUUUGGACCUUCACUGUCGUCUCAAUAUAUUACGUUUUCUGGACAACCAUUUAGCUCAAUUGAUUGACGAAAUAGUUCGAGCAGCAUCCAACUCCUAAUUUAGUUGACUUUGCACCACCUGAUGGAUGUCAAGAUGCAUCUACGCAUGCACCUAAUAAUAUCAAGUUGGAGCUUGGAUUUGUCGAGAUUACGUUGUGGGAUUCUCUUUGUAUCUCAUAUACUCUAUUCGAUAUGAGCCUCGGUGUCAAAGAAAAAUCUAUGAACACUGCUCAAAGAGAAAAGCACAUCUAUCUUUUUCUCAGCGUCAAAGCCGUGAACACAAAAUCACUGUUCAAAGAGCCUCGAUAUCACGGAUGUGCCGGAGGACCCAAAAAAGAUGAACACAAGUCACGUUCCGAUUCUAAUUUUUACUCCGAUGGGGAGGGGGGAGGGCUCACAUUUUAGAUCAUUUCGAUAACAAUGCCCAUCGUGAAUGAAACCUCGGAACAUCAGAACCACAGUAGCGAUUCAAAAGAAAACGGAUUACGGAGUUGGCCGUGACUUAAUGCCAUGCCUUGUGCAAUAAUUCAGUUCAGGAAUGCUUGACCAAGCAAUUACGUGUAGCCUUCAGUUAAAAUAGAGAGGAAAGGAAUAAUCAAGAGCGGAGCGUGGUAAACCAUGACGUGACUGCUUCAAAGGGGAUGAACACAUGCGACAUCUAAGCAAACUGGGUCGUAUAAUAGGAGGGAGGAAGAUUAGAACGAUAUGUGAAUAUUUAACAUGCAAUGAUUGACAAUAUCAUAUUUGUGAUGGCGCCAUGCUUCGACACAAUAAUUCAAUAAACAAGUUUUGGUCGGUCAUGUAUCGAGUAUGAGGUCAACAUCUUAAUAUCUUAUGCGUAUCCACGUACACGUACACGCACACGUACAUCUAAGAUGCAAUGGAGUGACAUCUGAACCAGAAAGUAAAACACAGACCAGCGUUGUUAGUAAAAAUUGGAAUCGAAGGAAAGAAUGUAUUGGUUAUAAAGAUUUUGAUAGAAAAUACGUCGACAUUAAUAUUGACCUGCCAAUUGGCUGCCACCAAGACACUGAUACGAGAAAAGAAAAAUCCGCAUCACCUUUUCCUAGUGGUAAAUGGUAAGGCGGCAACCUACCGCUCCUAGCAGAUCGCGGUUCAGGGGAAAGCGGUACGGACUGAUUACCAAGCUGGUUUGCCCCCUUGGUUGGCUUGAACAGAUGAUCACAUCGUCCGUUUGUCCCUAAUGGCCGUCAAGAUUGGCAAACAGCGCUCCUAUAUUCAUCCUUUGCUGUUGAUGCACCAUAUAAGUUAUACCGAUCAACCGUCUACACAAAUGAGGCACAAGAGGAUGUAUGCCCGAUCUUCAUCAACUAUCGAUCUUCCUUCGUCGGUCGCUUAAGUAUAAAAACUGAUUACAAGGCUUGAACAUAGGACCAAACUUGAAAAAUUCUAUUGUUCCCAUUCCUUUAAGACUAACUUUUUCGUCGGAAGGGUUGGGUCGAUGUUAACCUCUUGUGUAGGUCCCUGAUAAAGUCAAGGCACACCUUGGCUCACCCCGAGAGUACCAAGGACACUAGGACCCACCUCAGACCGACUUGGAAGCGAUCUUCGAUGCUCAGCUACCACCUCAAGAUCAUUUCGGCCAAACCUUCCGACUCCAACAACCUCACAUAAUCGCCAUGUGGGCUAUCAGGAUGAGAUUGUGUCUUCGGGAUAGAAUCAAGCUGUGUCGAUUCAUGAUUGGCGGGAUCAAGACAAUAAUAUUUUGGCGCUAAAAGGAGAGCUCAAAUGUCACAAGAAUAUCAACCCGCAAACUCCCUCAAUGAGUGCUCUAGCAAGGAGGCUCCACCGCUUACAUAUAGUACUUUCGGGUAAUGAGGACAUCUAUCCUCCUUCCGACAAGUGGACGCAUCCAUUUCGGCGCAAACCUUAAGGUGCUAUCGGCAUCUAUUCAACGACCUCGAGCUCUCCUCUUCAGGGCCAAACACAGGGCACAUACUCAUUCUUGCCGAGGCCUUCCUAAGCCUCACACAUCAGAUACAAACGCUGGUUGAGAUGAUGUAAACCAUCGCCCUCCUAUCCCAUUUGGCUUAACAAGUAGCCCCACCCUCAACACUGUGGCCAUCAGUCUAGCCCUCACUCGCUCUUGCACCUUUCGAGGCUUCCUCAAUUGACCCACUACCAAUCCCAUCAAACCACUCUCGAUCGGUUGAACUUUUGCCUUGUCAUAGACAGAACUGUAAACAAGAUAUUUGAUGUAAUGCUCAUGUAUAUCCGUGUCUUUCGAUUUUAUUCAUACUUUACAUAAAUGUAGAGGGCUGACAGUAGAUUUACCAACCAUAUUUUAGUUGACUUUGAUGGUCACUUUCGGCUUGUAAAUGAAGAUUGUGUCAUACGGGCACCUGUGAGUAUUUCGGUCUGUAGUGGGUCAUUUUGGACUCUUUGUUAUGCGACUGUUUAGAGCUUACAAAGUCUAUAGUUGUAAUUUGUAUUGGUUAUAAAAUGUAUGCUGAAAUGGUUGCUUAUAGAUCCUAAGUGAAAUGCUUUGUCUAACUCUUUUUCUCUUUUGUAGGUCCUAAAGGACCAUAGGAGAUUUCAGGGAGGUUAACAUUUGCAGACAGACAUGCAAGAGUGUCGCACGACUUACGCAAAACCAACUAAGUUAGAAACACUUGGCAUGCAAACGUGAGCUACCUAGUGAGGCUGUGUUAAGGGCAGCUAUCAUAUGUAAUCGUUUAGGGGAAAUGAGCAUUGAGAUGUAGGGAAAGGAGUCGGUCAAAGGAGCGGGCAUCCGAGAUUGACAUUAAGAGGAAUGACUAACCUUUCGUGCAAGAGGUACCACAAGGAUAAGCAACCUAGGAAGAAUGCAUAGCGUAUAAAGGUUGGGAUGACUAAGUUCGAUUUAUAGCUUGAUAAAGGAUAAAACCAUAUAAAGUGAGAUGUGUUGCUUAGUGACCGAAAGAGUUGUGCAAAGCUCACAGAGUUGAAGAGAAUUGUUAACUUAAAAAAUUCAAUACUCAUGCAAGGGCUUGUAUGUGGACGAUGGAAUGUUCAUGGCAAUCCUAAGGCAACCGAAACUCGAUGUCAUGGAGCAUUAAAACUUUUUUUUCAACAUGAGGACAAUACAUCCGUAGGAGGCUGAAGUGUGCAGCAAGUUUGUUGGAAAACACCAGAGAGCAUCAUAUGCACAAUGAAAAAUAAAAAUAAAAAAAAUUAAUUUCUCAAAUCAAUCUUAUUGAAUCGUCGUAUGAAAAUCAAGAGUGUAAAACUCAUAAAAUAAAAAACAAUAUAAAGUGGUUGAGACAUUCUCACAUAGGGGAAUUCGUAUAUCCCCUAAGAUUACAUAUCCUAGUCUAUGGAUAAAGGAGCUCUCGUAAACUCCUCUCUAGCGGUGAUCCACAUGAUAAAUGUAGUAACGACGCACCUUCUCACGCAGUACGUUCUUUCCUCACGAUUAUGCACCACCACAUAAUAUCGGAUAAGGAAGGAUCUGUCUCUCUUAUUGUCCUCUUGCACUAGAGAGGGGGCAAUCGGUUAGAGGAAGAAGGGGGGGAGGAGAUGAGGAGGUUGUGCCAAUAAAAGUCUAGUCUAUAACCCAUUUAGUCCCAACUCUUAUUUAUAGAGAACCUCCUUUAACUAAUCCUAAUGGAUCAUUCUUAUUGGGUAUUUGAUCUCUAUCCAAUUACCCUUGGCUUAAUGGAUAUUGGAUCUCCUUCAAAUAACUAUUAUGAGCUCUAUUGAGUCUAUCUCAAUGAUCUAUUAAAAUGAAGCUUAUCGUAUAUCUCAUAUUUAGUAUUCUAUUCGUCGAGUUGUCCAUCAUAUGUGUGUAACCCUCUAGGCCUAAUAUCGAGUUGACCAUAAGUUACAUCUAUCAGAACUCCAUCUAACUCAGUAAAUUAUUCUCUCUAUAAUAAUUCACUCAACUCAUCGACUAUAGACAUACUGGGCCACUACCUCAUAGUCCCCAAAUGUAUAGGGGGAUCUAAUUCAGUGGACUCAUCUGUCCUCAAUUACUAUGUAUAUAGAGUCCCCCAUCUAUCUAAUAUCUUAUAGAUUGUAUACAGAACAUAGUGCUGUCAGGCCUAUACGAAAUCCAUUUGAGUUUCACUCUAAUUGAAUUAUCCCGAAGAACUCAUUCUCUCUUAAUUUGAAUCACAUGCUUAUAAUAUUCAUCAUGAUAUGAUUGACCCUAGCCAGAGAUUUGCUUGAGUAAGAACAUAUAAGAUAUUCUUCUCAUGAUACCGAGAGUGGAUGAUCCUUUAUUGACACCCAAUUGCCUAAUAAGUUUGGUUGUUAUUCCUAAUGACCAAUUGUGCUAGACUUGAAAGUUCCGGACCUAUAAGUUUAAUAUCAAAGAAUGAAGUCUACAAAUAAGGCAUCAUUAGUAUCUCAAGUCUAAGGAUUAGAUACAUAAUUGGGACUAUGAAAUCAUUGUCCGAUGAUAAGGUAUUAUUAACCAACCAACAUUCCGUAAGCAGAUCAUUUAGUAAACUCAUUCUCCAAUGAGCACUUGCACUAUAUCUCUAGUGUCCCCACACAAGUAGCUAUGAGAUCAGCUAUAUUCAUUAUAUAGAUAGGUAUAUAGGACACCGGUAUGUUUGGCUAUCUCGAUGUCUCUCUUGUGUAAAUUAUGAUCAGAAAUAUUUAAAGUCUAUGUUUAAAGGCGAAUUGGUCUCAUUAUCAUGAUAUCAUCAUGAUCAAAUUCCAAUUACACAAAUCCAAGGACAUCAUAAUAUAUUCAUUAUCUAAUAUAAAGUGAGAAAAAUAUAAUAAUAAUAAUAAUUAAAAAUAUUAUACAGCAUGUCACACGUGUCAUUACUUACAUGAUUAGCUUGCAGGGUACUUGUAACUAGCAAUAUCCUACUUGACCUAAAGACAAUCAUCCACGUGCCUGAUCCUCAUCAGACCCUUAUGACACUAAAAAAUAAUUUGAGAUAAUGACUUUAUUAAGAGAUCUGUAAUGUUAUUUUCGAAUGAAACUAUUUCCACUACUACCUCACUAUGGGCUACAAUCUCUUUAAUUAAGUGGAACCUCUUCACAAUGUGCUUAGUCUUCUAAUAAGACUUAGGUUCCUUCGCUUGAGCAAUCACCUCAUUGUUGUUGCAAUAUAAGAGAAUCAACUCCUCGAUGCUUGGCACGACUCCUAGAACUUCUUCAUUCAAACUGCCUCAUUCACUACUUUUGCUAUAAUAAUAUACUUACUUCAGUGGUCAAGUCAGUAGUAGUGUAUUGUUUGGAACUCUUCCAGCUUACUGCUCCUCCAUUAUGGGUAAACACAUACCUUGAGUUUAAUUUGCUAUCAUCGACAUCAGAUUGGAAACUCGAAUUUGUGUUGCCAUUAACCUUGAGGCUAUCUUCUCCGUAUAUCAGUAAAAGAUUCUUAAUUCUUCUCUAGUACUUAAGGAUACACUUUACUGCCUUCUAGUGUUCUAAACCUAUAUUUAUCUAAUAUUUGUAUAUAACACUUAGAGCAUGCACUAUAUUAAGCUUGGUAUAUUGCAUAACAUACAUGAUAGACCCUGUCGUUGAUGUAUAUGAUAUCGUAUCCAUGUUUGCUUUUUUAACAAGAGUCUUUGGGGAUAUACUUCUAGAAAGUGAUAUUCUAUGUCUUAUCGGUAUGAGACAUCUCUUGGAAUUUAUUAUACCAAACUUUUUGACAAUGGUGUCUAUGUAAGCAUCCUCUUGAAUUUAUCUCUAUAGAUCCGAAUCUCGAAAAUGUAGGAUACUUCCCCUAAGUUUUUCAUGGAGAAGUGUCUAAAUAACCAAGCCUUAAACAUAGAGAGCAUUCUUCCAUCAUUCCCAAUGAUUAGGAUGUCAUCCACAUAUAACACCAAGAAGGUGAUAAUACUCCCGCUUACUUUCUUAUAUAUACAAGACUUAUUUUCGUUCUUAAUAAAGUCAUAAGAUCUUAUCGUCUUAUUAAAUCUUAUUUUUAAUUUUGAGAAGCUUGCUUUAGUCUAUAAAUAGACUUAAAUCUACAUAUCUUAUUUAGAUUUUUUUUGGAUACGAAUUCCUCAGACUAUAUCAUAUACACCUCAUAGGGGUUGUCAUUAAGGAACAUGAUUUUUAUUUCCAACUACUAGAUCUCAUAAUCAUAGCGUGCUACAAUGACCAAUAGAAUUCGAAUGGAUUUCAACAGUCAUGGGUGAGAAGGUUUCGUCAUAGUCAAUAACUUACCUUUGAUGAUACCUUGUAGCCACCAACUUUGCCUUAUAAGUCUCUAUCUUUCCAUCUAGUAUGAUCUUCUUCUUGAAAAUUCACUUGGAACCUAUGGGUACAAUACCUUUAGGUGCAUCAACUAGGUUCCAAACCUUGUUAGAGUACUUGGAAUUCAUUUCAGAAUUCAUGACCUCUUAUCACUUCUUAGAGUCUAUGCUCAUAAUAGCCUUCUCAUAGGUCAGAUGAUCGAUAUCCUCAAUGUUAUCACCUUUGAUAUGUCUCAUAUAUCUCUUUGGAGAGCUGGACACUCUAUCAGACCUAUGCAAAGUCGAAACUUAUGUACUAGGUACUUAAAUGAUUCGUCUUAUGGAAUAAUGCUUGAGCUAUGUUCUUCAACCUCACUCAACUCUAUCACGCUCUCACUAUUUCCACCAAGAAUAUGUUCUUUCUCAAGAAACACUGCCCUCUUGGCAAUAAAGACCUUUUGAUCCUCGAGAUGAUAGAAAUAAUACCCAUAAGUCUUUUUGGGGUAUCCCAUGAACUUGCACCAUUCUAUCAUUGAUUCCAACUUGUCGGGAUUGUCUCCUAAUAUGGGCAGGGUAGUCUCAAAUCUUAACAAUCUUAAGAUCGAGCUUCUUCCCUUUCUAUAUGUCAUAUAGUAUAGACACUACCACUUUUGAUGAAACUUUAUUCAGAAGAUAAGCUACAGACUCUAAGGCAUAGCCCGAAAAAGAUACGGGUAGGUUAACGAAACUCCUCAUGGGCCGUCCUAUAUCCAACAACAUACGGUUCCUCUUUUCUGAGUUGAGGUAUAUAAGAUGAUAGAUUCCCAAACAAUUGAUGUUCCCAAAUAAUUUCAUAUGUUGGUUAAUCCAUAUUCUGAUCAUUAAGUGUAAUAGAUUCAAUUGAUCAUCCUAUAAAAACUAUAUAAAUCACUUUAAUAUUUAUAUUAGAGGUGUAUUCAAAUGAUUAAAAAAAAUAAUGAAAAUUAAUAUUUCUUAACUAGUGUGAAGGAUGCACCUUGGCCGUUUUAUAGUGUAUCGGAGUGACCAUUGAGCUAAGGUAUUAGUUAAUGCCAAAAAUAUAUGUGCAUCAUUCAACUAUCAUCGAGUCAUAGGUUCAUAUGUCAAACCAUCAACAUUACAAUUAUGGAGUAACGAUUCACUUUAACGCCAAAGAUGUGGUGUCUUAUCAGGUUGCGAACGAGCCAUAACCUCAUAUCAUAUGCCUCGUUUUAAUGCAUAAAAAUGGUUGACAGACGAUUUGUCUAGUAGGCUACUGUUCACAACACUAACCACAUGGUUGUUUAUGAUGUUUAUUGGUUGUUUGGAGGUUGACUAUAGUCACAUCAUUUUCUUGACCUUAAUUUGACCACGCCAUUGUAGGUGGAUGUUGUAUGGUCGAUUCAAUCAUAUCAUUAGAGAUGGGUGUUUUAUGGUUAAAUUUGAUCAUGUCAUGGUAGAUGAACGCUUCAUGAUCGAUUCAAUUAUGUCAUUAUAAAUGAAUGUUUCUCGGGUUUAGCCGGAUCAUUAUAGAUAGAUACUUCAUGAUCAGGUUUGACCAAUGUCAUAAGAUGAACAUGUCAUUAGCGGAGUUGAUUAUGCAGUCAUAAAUGGAUAUUUCAUGGUCGGAUUCGACCAUGUUAUCAUGGAUGGGUGCUUCAUGAUUGAUUCAAUAGCAUUAUCAUAAAUGGAUGCUUCAUGACUGAUUCGACCAUGUCAGAAUAGUGGGAUGCUUCGUGAUCAUUUCGAUCAUAUCGUUUUACCUCCAAAUUAUGUGUAUCCUACAUAUCAUUAGCUUUAAUCGCUUUGGGUUUUGGCUUAUAUAAAAAACACUACAGGGGUUCAUCUAUCUGUGUUGCUUCAGUUUUUAUAAGCAUGUCUUCUUAAUUAUCAUUCUUGAUCCGAUUUGAUUCAGUUUUUAAUGAUUGCAUGGCGAUUGUCUUCUAGAAGCUAAUUAGGAGUCUACAUAUUACAUUGAUAUUCAGCUAAUUGGUCUCAGUGCUCAAUCUGCUAUGGCCAAACAUAUGAAUGCAACGCCACCCUUUCAGUUGAACCGUCGGACAAGCAUCAUAACUUGAGGAUGCAUUCGUGAAGCGUAUACAAGGAGGAAACCAUCCUUCAUUCAUUUGUCUUUUUGUAAAUAUUUUAGCUUGACAUUUCGAACUAUUGAGCUUUAGAAUAUUGACAUUAGCUUGACAUUUCGAUCAUGAAGAUACGAAUGAUACAUCCAUGAAGCGUCUAUCUAUGAUGAUGUAGCUAAAUCAGAUAUGAAGUAUUUCUUUUUGAUAAAACGAUCGAAUCAACCAAGAAGCAUUCAUCUAUGAUAACAUGGUCGAAUCUUGCCAUGAAAUGUCCACUCUACGAUGAUAUGGUUGAAUUGGCCACAAUGCAUCAAUCUAUGACGAUGCGAUUGAUCCCAAAGCGACUAAAGUCAAUGGCAUGGCACACAUAUGUAACAAGGAGUUAUAAUGAUGUAGUUGAAUCAACUAUGAAGCAUCCAUCUAUGACAACUUAAUAGAAUAGAUCAUGAGGCAUCCUUAUAUAAUGAUGCGAUCAAACCUAUUUCUUCUAUGAUGGCACGAUCAAAUCGAGCAUGAUAUAUCCAUCUACGAUGAUACGAUCGAAUCAAACCAUGAAAGAUUCGUGUAUAAUGACACAUCCAAAUUAGCCAUAUGUUGACGUGAUUGAAUCUAAUCAUAAAACAUCCAUCUAAGAUGACAUGAUCGAAUCUAUGAUGCACCGUCGAUCCCGAACCUUGAUUCAUGAACCAAGCCACAAAUCAUUGUUGAAUGAUGAUACUCGACCUCAAAAUAACCAUUGAACAACAUAGGCAAUCACACGGUAAGUGACACGAUCCAAAAUGAAACAAGAAACAUUUUUUCUUGUGUUGAAACAAGACAAGGGUAGAUGAUACGAGGGUAUUCCACGGAGGCAACCCGAUGAUGAUAUGUCCUUCCUCCUAAUCCAUGUGCUUCCUCCUAAUCCAUACAAUGUCGAAAGAUGCACGGCUUCGCCUCCAAACUUAGAUCAUUUAAACAGAACUCCCCUCGUGAAUGAGAGGAGUCAACACCAUUUAAGCAACCACCGAUCGAAGCGAUGACCAACCGACGGUGGAGAAUACCUGAACAGGCAAAGGGUCUCCGUUUAUCUCUCUCUAGAGUUGUCCCACAAAACCUUCAUGAAAACUUUACUAAUCUGCUCAAGAAAACUUGCAAGAGAUCUAAACUCUGAAGCUAGAGGCUUUAUAUCACUAAAAUAAUUCAAAUUUAGCUGCAGCUCGAGAGAAAGCAUCUCACUUCCAAGAUUCAUUUGUUCACAAAAAAAAUUAGUUUCAAGUACAACACAUAAAGGUACAAAAACAAUCGCAAUAAUCAUACAGUUAACCAGAUGGUAACCGAUCCCAAAACAAAUCAACAAGAAGAUGACAAUAUCUACAAACUAUAAAGACACACCACAGAAAUCAGAAUCACCGAUCUCCUAGUAAAAAAUAGGAUAAGAAAACGAAUGAAAUAACUAAUAGAACAGCAUCCUUUAAGAUGCGUGCGGAAGUCAGGCUAUGGACAAACUUUCAAACUAAACCUGUGACUUGUAGUUCUGUUAGGAAUUGUGGCUGCUCUCACUUGCAGCGAUAGAGUUCUCUAGAUUGAGAACAUUUGAUCGAGCCCUUUCUGAUGUUUAGACCUGGCAGAACCUUGAGCUGACCCUGCUGCAUCAUAUCUGAAGGCACAUCAUUGUGAUAGAGUUGAGAUUGACAAAACUGAGCAUGACAUUCAAGGCCCUGUGGAUGAAUUUUCGGUUGCUCCUCAGAUGGCAUCAUAAAUGAUGAAUAGGGAAGAUUUAAAAGUCCCAGAUUAUAAGGCUCGCUUUUAUUCACUUUUCCUCCUGUUACAAUAUGAAGCCUUUCAACUUCCUUCUUCAAAGCAUCACUGACACCUGCAGCCACAUUGUGGUUGUAUUUAGAAAGGAUAUUUCCAUGAUAAAGAAAUUUACUCUUUAUCCAAUUGUCCUAGCAGUGUAUCUAACAAAGGAAGAGCAUCAUGACUGUAAUUUUGACAUGAAAAUCAGUUUUCUAGGGUGCAAAUGGAAACAGCAUUAACUGGAAUUUGAUAUCACUAAUUUUGUUCAUUGGAAACACCUAGAAGAUAAUCAAAGAAAUGCUCCACCAGGAGAAUCAACAAAUGAUAAUAUUUCUACAAAUCAAAUCUAAGCCCUCUAUUCUAUCAUAUGCAUGACAAAAUAAAAUGUUAAAAUUACCUUCCAUGCCUCGAUGCACACCUACAAAGAAUACUUUGUUGCAUGAAAUAACACAACACUAAUAUUACGUUUUCCCGCUCAACCGAAGGUUAAACUACUUUAUGAUCAGGCUACACCUAUCUCAAACAAAAUUUCAGUUGCAAGUAAAAAAUUGUUGAAUUUUUAGUUGCAAAACACAGAUUUAUUUGUGUAAUUAGAUAUAUCAGGAAUAAGUUUUUUUUUGUCUCUGGUAUAUUAUUUGUUUGGAUAUUUUAAGAAAAAUAACAUUAAAAAAGUUAAAAGAGAAAAAAGAAACCAGAUAAAUCACAUUUAUCGGUUACUUGGCAAAUUCAAACACUGAUGGAAUAGAUGGGGAAACAAACUGCACUGCAGUGACAUACCGGGUUUCGGGGAAACAAGGCCCCGUAUUAAUCUUGUAGACCAUGUGGUUAACAAAAAUAUUCAGUAUUCUUCAUUCUGACAAUCCCCAAACUGAAGAAUUUAGUCCAUGUUUUAGAAGGCAACAUUCUUGAAGCUUCAACCUAGUGCCUACUGCAUAAAACUCACAUAAUCAAUUCCAAGAAUACGAAAUGAAAAUUGAUCUAAUAAGUUCUUCAGCAGUGAUCGUCCUUAUUUGGCUUCGCCUGACAUGAAAAAUUGUGCGACACAUCUGUAAGGCCUGAAAACUUAGAACUGUGCAACAGUGGUUGGUCUUAUAUUGUAAUCAGAAAUUUCCAUACACUUAAUGGAUGUGUGAAACUCACAGAAUCAUUUCCAAAAAUAUGAAACAAAAUUUGACCUAAUAAGUUCUUCAUCAGUGUACAUAUUGGUUCGGUCUGGCAUGACAUGAAAAAUUGCCCUACACCUUUGUCAGGCCUGUAAACUUAGUGCUAAGCAACAACAGAAUGGUCUUAUAUUGUGUUCAAAAUAUCCUGUACACUUGGAACUCACAAACGAUAGAGGAAUCCUACAUCCUAAGCCAUCAGUAGCUUUGGCAGGAAUGAUGCUUCUCCGUUCCCACUUCUUCCACCAAUGACCUAAUAAUCUUUAUCAACUCUUAACCAUUUCUCUCUGCAGCGGCUAGGAAAAAUUGCCCAUGUCACCAUACCUCAUGAUGUAGGACGAGCAGCAGUGAAUUUCUUUUUGAUAAUAGAGAGAUAAAACAAAAAAAAAGUAAAUAAAAGAUAAUAGAAAAAGACUUGGAUAACUACCAUACUCGCUCUAACUCAAAGAGAACACUCCCAAGAUGAAGACCUCACACCUCCACAUCUCUCACACGUGGAUGAUGGGAUCAUUCCACCAGAAAAGUAACUUGUGGCCUCGCACCACUCAUACACAAAGUGGGAAAAGGACGUAAUUCAUCGAUUCAUUUCUGUUUCACCAUUACAAUGCUAUAUCCCCAUUUUAUAGGCUCAAGCACAAGAAUAAAAAGAAAAGUGCCAAAAUAAUGAAAAUUACAAUCACAUCAAAUCAAAUAUAUGAUAUCCUCUUUCCGAAGGUAAUAUUUCUAACUUGAUUUGAAAAAUAAUCUUCCUCUCUUUACAAUAUUCUUGAUUGAUAAACUUUCAUCUUUGUAGAGACAAAUCUUCAGUCAAGAUUUAAUUAAAACAAAUAGAUUUCUUCGAUCUUUUCUGCAUUUGCUUCCUUUUUCUCCUUGUUGAGUAGAUGUUGACAUAUGACAACUUAUUACAUAUGCGAAAUAUCCUUAAACUAAUCAGAUCUCUUUAAAUAAAUUAUAGACUAAAUUGGUUCCAUGUCACCUCAACAAGGAGAAAAUCCCACAACAUAUAUCAGAGUAUCCAAGCAUUUUGAAAUAUAUUACCCUCAUCAAGAAGAUCCAUCUGUGAUUUUUUUUUAGCCUUAUCACCAGAAAAGUCCCAGUUUCCUGGUUUGCCAAGAAUUCAACCUACAGAGUGCUUCUAUUCUACUAUAUAUCAAGUGUUCUCGCUCAUGUUUGACUUAAAAAUUUUCCAUUAUACCUUUACUUAAAUGUAAGCUCUAAAGUAACAUGAGACUAAUGACUUUUCUGGUCCAUAUUCGUUGGUUUUCUUGGUGCCUAUAUAUGCUAAAAAUUUGCAGUGAUAAUAUCAUCUCUUCUUUACCAUGUUCCUUGGUCUCUUUCACUUUGAUCAACCAAAUAUGAGCUCCAAAUUAACACGACAUCCAUGAUCAUUCCAGUCUAUAGCUUUUAUACAUUUCCAUGCUUUUCUGAACCAGUUGUCAGUGAGAAACUGCACUGUUUUGCAAGUCUCUUUGAAAAUUUUCUGUUGCUUCCAUUUUGUAACAUUUUAAGCAGACUAUAUAAACAGACAUGGCAAACAGAAAUGCUAGAGAACCCACAUAUUACUUAACUGUUUAAGUAAAACGAAAAUCCUUAAUGUUGUGGUGUAUUAACAUCUUGCCAUGCUCCAACAUCUAAAAACAAAAUCCAGACUUAAUAAUAUCAGUACUGCUUCCAUAAGUAAACAAUUACAGAACCAUUGCUUUAAAACCAGGCUUUAAACAAAAAAUCAAUCAUGGUGUUUGAUGCACAGAUUCCUUAUAUACAGUUAUACUUUGCCCAGUGAUGUGUUGUGCAGAAGGCGAAAACUUAAAAGGACAGGUAAAUUGGAUAUUUAAGUGGAGAGACUCAGUGACAUGGGAAACUCAUAUUCACACAAACUUAGAACAAUGUUAGCUAAACAGAUGGGUUCCAGGAAAGUAUUUAAGUGUCAGUUUGUUUAGACCUCAGUGUGAUGACAAUGAUGCCUACUGGAUUUUAUGUUUUGCCUGUGUCCUAUGCCACCUUCACCCUGACAGUGAACAUGCAUGGAUGGGCAUGGAGGCAGCAGUUAGACACUUUUUUUCAGGAACUUAUAUACAUCACUAUCAAAGAAUCAAAUAUUUGAAAAGAAGAAAGAAAAGAAAUAAAAGGGAGGGCAGAAUAAAUAGGAAGAAGAAUAAAAAAGGGGAACAGGGAGAGAAACAGAAAGAGAACUUGGAAAUUGGGAUCUCAUUCAAGCAGAAUAUUCAAUAUUCUCUUCUCUCCCUAAUCUUCUCAGUCUCCUUAACUCUCAUCAAAGUUGCAUCCAUAUCUAACCCUCGAAUAUGUUCAAUUUUGAAGAAAACAUAUUGAGGUUACGAUCCAGUUCUUGCAUCAGGAUCGUAGCCAUAAAUGGGGGCCUCUCUCUUUGUACCUGUACAAGUGUUGUGUUCGCUUAUGCAAUUUUGCUAACAUGUUUGCAAAUUUAUAUAAAUAUAUUGUAAGGAAUUUUUUAAUACCAUAGGACAGAAAUUGCAAGAUACCACCACAGGAAGGCAGAAAUUAACUGGUCCAUAGAAGGUUGAAUUCAAAGAUACAUAUUCAUGUACAUGUUCUCUUCUGCUCAAAAAUUUACUGUAAGAAAGUUGAAAAAUCUCACCAUCAUGCAAUUGAGCUUGUUGCUCCAUAGAUUGUAACCAUAACUUCAGUCCUGCAUUUUCAGUGGCCAACUCAGAUAUAUCUUUCUGGUAAGAAGAGUAAAUAGUGAAGAUAGGUAAGUCAUAUUUUCUAAGAAAUUAUGUUGACUUUAAGUGAAGCGACAAAGUAAAUCCUGAAAAGAUUUUCCCAGGAGAAAGACUCUCAAACUUGUUAAGUGCAGCUCCAUGGCAUACAUGUUCUUCCAAAUAGGCAGAGUGAAUAUUCUAGUCCUUAUGACAACUCAGGCAAUGAAAAAUUUAUUAGGCAAAUGGAUAAGAAAACAGAGUGCAUACAUGAAGCUUGACAAGUAUAAGGAGAGAAAUUCGAUUAAAAUAAGUAGUUUCAAUGGAAAUGAGAGUUAUCCUGAUUUUGAAUGCAUGGGAGUAGACCCUUUUAUGGCAUAAAAGGCAAAUCCUGCUAAAGAUAAGUUAAAAACUGAAUCAGAACAUAUAAUUUGGUUGUUCAAAUCAAACAGAGAAGAGGUUGAAAAAACAAUCUCUUACCAUAGAGAGAACAAGAUAGAUGCACAAAAGGAGACUGUAUUUUCCCUGAUUAAUAUCAUGUACAACUUCAAUUAUGACAGCUGUUGGACCCUCUCCUCCAUAACUAAACUAACUAACUUCCCAGUUAGAGAAACUUAUAUAAUAUAAAAGAAAAUAAGUCGGUUAUUUCCUAGCCAACUAAAGAUUCCUUCCAACUAUUGCAACCGUACCAUCCAUCCUAUAAAACAUGAGUCUCAUGGGAACAUAAUGAUAAGAUCCAAAUGUAGCCAAAUACAUAGGACUUGAUGACUCUUUCUAAUUCCUGAAUAACCAGGAUCUAAUCAGCCCUUGAAAACUAAUCAGAUCCAGUUGUUUUUCAUUCUUAUUUGGGGCCUCCUUUAUAGGAUAUAAAAUCAGUGAUCUGUGAGUAAUCGAAAUUAAAACACCCCAGACGAUCAUUAGAAUCUGCUGAAUGCAAACUUACACAUAGUCUGACUUAAACACAGCCCCGGUAUCUGAGACUAAACCAAAUCAAUCUACCAAAUGCAAAAUAUCAACUUGCUUAAUCCUCAAACAUAAGCUGACAACACUGUGAUGUAAGCAAAAUUAAAUUAAAGGGGCCAGAAGUAUGAUGAACUUUACACGUCUAGUCCAAUCAGAACCAAGAUGAUUAGUUGUUUUGAUAACCGAAGCAUAGUAGAUGAAUCAACUACAAGGCUAAAGUCAGCCAACAAUAGCCCAUUAAAUAUAUUAACUGCCUUAAAGAGCAAGAAACAACAACUCUUCAAAGAACAAACGUAUAACAACCUGAAGCAGCAUGAGCUGCGCUGAAAGGGUUGUAGCUUCCGUUUGAAGAGUCUGGACUUUUCUCUCAAGUUCCAAAAUAUAAUUUGCCUUGCGUUGUUUUGAGCGAGCUGCAGACUGCCGAUUUGCUAGAAUUCUGCAAAUUGUCAUGUCCAACAACUCAAAAUAUGCUUUUAAUAGCAGCACAUAAGCUUGAAGGGUAAUACAUUGAUAAAUUUAUAAAUAGAAAACAAAUAUGCACAAAGCAUGUAGUAGUAUCUAUUUCAAUUUUUCAGCAUAAGUAAUAAUUACACUAGAGGGUUGUGGAAGCAAACAGGUACAAUCAGGAUCGAGUUGCUUAUCUUGAAUUAAUAACCUAACAAACUUAAAAUUAUUAUUUAAGUAAAGCCACACUCAAGUUUCUCAUCAUCGUAAUGUCAAUAUAUGUCAACUAUUAUGUCUCACUACAAAUAAAUGCUUGACAUGAUAGGAUGUAGUAUUUUAAACCCAAUAAUGCCAACAACAAAAAAGUUAGCACUGUAAGCUAUGCUGAUCAUGCUUUCAGACAAGGAAGUUGUGAUUUACAAAAAGAUUUUUCUGCCUUUGAUAUCCGUUAAUUGCCUUGUAUUCUUUCUAAUUCUUCUAAUGGCAGAUUAAAGAAAUUGCAAUUCUCAUAUGUGGGUUACAAUUCAACUACUUGCCACAUUUUGAUUUUGAUUUUUCAUUUGAUCGAUCUUGAUAUGGUCGAUGGAAACAAGUGAUCAAUAAGCCACUGAAAAUUUCGAAGCAGCAUUGGUGGUAAACAUGAAGCAUAGGGGGCAGAAUCAUAACAAGACUGAAAUAGUUGGGGGAAAGUGCAAACCUCUUGGCCCUCCUUGGGUCGAUCACCGCCAACUCUGCAAGUUUCUCGGGCGGCAUGGCUUUCUUGGCCUCCAUCACGUCCCCGAACACUCCCUCGACUCUAGAGCUCGACACAUCGACGGAGCUGCCGUGCCGAUGCAUCGGCCGGGCGUCUCCACCGGCGGCAUUGCCUUGCGCUCGAGUCUCCUCGUUCCCCGACGAACAAUCCACCGCCAUCCGAUCCCGAGGAACCGAGUGGCCGGAGGCUUCUAAAGCGGGUGCUGCACCGUCCUCCACCCCGGAUCCGAUCUUCUCCACGUCCAUGAAAGUCCGGAAGAAGUCGUCCUCGGAAACGGGGCCCAGGUGGAGGUCCUCGGAAAUCCGGAAGGCCAGCUCGGAGUGCGCCCGCCUAUGGUGAGGUCCUCGGAACUGCGGGGCGGCUGAGCGGGGAUCCAGGUCGUCGGCGCACAUAGACGACGGCGCAUCGGGGGCGUUGCGGCGGGGGAGAAUGGGAUUGAGAGAUGGGGGAGGGAUCAAGGAUUUUGACGGCAUUUUGCCGCUGCCUCUCCUCCUCUUUAAUUUGGUGACCAAGAAGAGGAAGAAAAAGAGGGAGAGGGAGAGGGAGAGAGAUCUUCGGACACGGCUGAACUAGGGAUGUCGAGAGGGCAGAGAGAGAGAGAGAUGAAUCUUAAUCAAUGGUUUCGGAAACACCCUAACUAGGGAUGUCGAGAGAGAGAGAGAGAGAUGAAUCUUCUUCAUCGAUGGUUUCCAUAGUCCCGCUCAUAAAUAAAGAAGCUUCUUUGCAAAUUUUAGCAUCUUUUUCCCAUACGACUACUACUUUUUGUCUUAAUAAUCGCUCCUCUCCCCUCCUCCUCUCGUUUUGUGGGAUGGUGAUGAUGAUAUCUUCGUGUCUUCUCCACGAUAUGGUUUCCUUUCCUUUCCUUUAAGUGUGACUUCAAAUUGCAUGCAGCAUUUAUGUCCCGACAAACGACGACUCGCACAUGUACAACUAAAUGGAUGAAUUGUACAACUAGAAUCGAUGGGGGGGGGGGGAGUGAAAAGUCCAUACCCAAAUAAAAUGUAGCGUCAACAUCGAUCGUCGAAACACCUACGAUCACGAUGGCCGACUCUCAACACAAGGAAGCAAGCCACGGCCGUGAAUGACCCUUCGAAACACCUCAAAUUGGAUCACGUUCAAGAAUGUGAUAUUUCUUCUUCUUCUCCCAUGCCCAGCCUGAAAGCAUAAACCUUGGAUUCGCAAGCCAUUAUUGAUCGACCUAGAUAGAGAAUGCCGUACACAUUUACAAACUUCGUAUCUGAUCCAAAUACCAAGUCGAUAUGAGAUUCUCACCUAGCUAACACUCCCACCUCACUCCACAUGAGGUUGGGAGACUCCCAAACAGAUAAUAUGACAUCAAAAGAAGGCUAAGCUGACAUUAUCAUUACUUUUUAUCUUUAGGUUCCACAUACGUAAGUAGUUGCAUAGAAAAAAAAAUUCUAAAAAUAUUUUUUUUGAAUUCGGCUAUAAUGCUUUCUCUCUUUCUAAUGACUCCAUCGUUAUGUGUUCAUUAGAGAUGAAUAUUACUCUUUAUUAUUUGAUGUUUUCUCAAAAAAAUGCACAUAGAUAAUAUUUGAUGCUUAGUUCAAGGAGGGUGCAUCGAGAAAUCUUUGAUGCUUAGUUCGAUAAUGAUGCAUAUGUUCAAUCCUUAAUGUUAGCUUAAGAAGAAUGCAUGAUCUUGGAUGCUUAGUCCGAGGAUGAUGCAUUGUGCCAUCUUCGAUGCCUAAGUUGGAAAAGAUACAUUAAACGAUUUUCAAUGUUUUACUUGAGGAGGAUGCAUAGAGUAAUAUUCAAAUAUGCCGAACAACCUUUAAAGAGAAUGGGAAUCUGUUAGUUACCAAGUGAAAAACCCGAGAAGUCGAUGACCAAAAAGUUGAGGAUAGAGAAGAAAAAAAAAAAAAAAGGUUAGCAAGCAAAGAGACAUCUAGAACUAUAAUGUACCACUUGCAUUCCAAAAACUUAAGAGCUCCCUGUUUGCUUUUAGUCCUCUAGUCUCUCGGACCUCCAAAACACUUCAUGUUUUCUUCUUCUUUUCUCUUUAUGAUAUCUUCUUCUUGGUUGAAGUAGUCAAGAGAGUCACUGUCAUAUAACGAAGAAUCCUAGUCUUUGAACCUUUGGAUAGAAAAAUGAGGCAACUCAAACUCAUCUACAGCGGACUGUGUCACUCUUACCCGAGCACAAGACUACAACCAAACAUGUUUUGUUGUCUUCGAGCCAUCGAAGUUAAAAGGAACCUACGCUGUCGAUCGAAAGGAGUGCCCACUUACUCUGGCUCAUGAGGCUUAAUGGUGUGAUCGAUGAAUGUGAUCUCACGAGGGAAUGGAACUCGAUCCACCAUCAUCAUCUCUGAUACUACUACUGACAUGCAAGUGCAAAAACCCAAAAUCAAACAUACAGAAACUAAUAAAUAGAGCAAGCAAUCUGGAAGGAAUUACAUGAGAAACAGAGUGAGAAAGGCUAGCUAGAUACCGGAUUGAGGGAGGAGGAGAUAAUAACUAGUAAGAGAGAAAGCCUGUAGAUGGUUGACACAUCGGAGGGGACCUUUUUGUUUUCUUUUUGCUAGGUCCAUGGCGAGGCAUAUCAAUUCCAUCAUCGAAAAGCACCAGCGUUGUGCUAUCUAUCCCCAGUCCUGUGAUGUCGAUGCAUGGGUGGGGGAGUUCCUUCCAACUUACACUCCCAGCGCUUAGUCCACACUGGUGAAAUUUCUUCCCCAUCGGUCUAGACAUUAAUCUUUGACUUGAACACCGAAAAGAUAGUCUGAGGAGGACCCAAUCUGUCCUCCAUCGUUGGGUUCAUCAGAGGAGGACAUGACAAGCCGAAGACUAGUGGGUGCAGUCUGGUAAGCCAGAGCUUAGCAUGUUCACAAAGCUUUUGAAGCAGCAGCAGCAGCCUCCUACCACACCAUUCUUUGCCACCACUUUCAAAGUUGUUGACUGUUUCUUGUGGCUUGAAGCUUGACGUAUGCACCUCUUAGUGAAGCCCGACUGCUCAAACCGUGCCUGAUGAUCUCAUUUACCAACUAUAUUUUUCAUGACCACAAUCGUGUGGUAAAACCGACCGACUCAUUGAAAUCAAGUCUGGUCACUCGACUGACUUUGAACAACGAAAUAUAAUAUAAUAUAAUAUAAUAUAGACUUUUCCGAGUCCGGCCGGUCCAAGUCCUCGGGGCAUUUGACAAUCUUAAUAAGAUCAUACCAGUCCCAAUGACUCGAUCAAAUUAAUCUCCAAGGAAGGCAGCAAAGAAAACAUUUUCCGGAACACUCAGCAAACCUGCAAGCGUUGGAAAACAAGGUGAAUGCAUGUCUGUGUUCCGGCCUCCGAAGCGGAAACGCAGAUGUACUUUGGAGGAAACAACCGUCGCAAAAGGCCCGAUGGAUCCUUUGCCGUCGCAGCGUUUGGAUUCCGUGCUUCUUCUUAAACCACAAGCGUGUCACCUUGCUCCCGAGACUUUGCAGCGAUUACCACACCAUGACUUCCCAAGUCUCACCUAUCUCGACAAUGCGGCAAAGGCCCUCGAGUAGGCCAUAUAUUAUUCCUUCUCCGAUCACCGAACGUGUACACCGGCAGCGGCAGCCGCAGCAGCAGCAACAACAAGAACAACAAAACUCCAUUGCUUCCUUGUUCGAAGGAAUUAAUCUUGUGUGAACAUAUAUGAUGACCUGUUCUUUAAAACAAGUUAAAACGACUUUAACUGCGAUACUAUCGGCGUUUGAAACAUUCUUCCUGACGUGCUUGCUGACCAGGUGGCGUAACCCGCAAGACAAAACUGGGAAUCAUCUGUUGUGUGGUCUUUCUUGAAAAUUACCCAAACCUGAUAUUGAUCUACUUGACUUCACCGAACCAAAUAGGAGUUCCUUUCCUUUCCUUCCCAGCACUCAACUAUUUGAAAAUGAACUGCACUUCAAAGUUCCUUUCACAAAGACAUUCACGACAUACAUAUUGUAUAUUGAAAAGUCUCUUCAAAAUUCCUGGUUAGAAAUUUUGUACGUCCACGUUAUGAAUCACAUCAUCGUUUCUGAUGUUGCUAGAUUUUUACCAUUAAUUUUUUUAUAAAUAAAUUAAAAAUAAAAUAAAAUAAAAUACGUCCUUCUUUUUUUUUUUAAUAAAAUAUUUUUAAUUCAAAAAAAUGAAAAUAUACUCGUGCUUAAUUAGGUAGCGUAUGUUAUAAACUGGCAGGAAAAAACACAAAAAAAUCCAUCAACAUGAUUGAGGCGGUAAGCGACGUUGACCCGAAACACGUCUAUGGUCUGUGGACCGUAAGAGUUAGUGCUGGCCUUCCGACGUGGCUAUUGAAUAAUGAUACCAUGAAAAUUGUAGGCCGUUGAAAUCUGGAAGGUGGACGAUCCGACGGCCAUGGAAGUAAACGGAGGACAUCCUGUGGCACUUUUGGAUAUUCUCAUCUGUCGACCAGGAGAGUAGUGGAAUUCGAUGAUGCGAAGAAUAUGGAAUAUGGAAGGCCAGUCUUGGUUGCGGUUUGACCACUGCCGCUCCCCUCCUCUCUCUCCUCUUUCGUUCCCAUUCAUUUUCCCCUUCUAUUAUUAUUCCAUUCUCCUCUCUACUCGAUUCCAUUUCUAUCCCAUUUCCUUUCUAUUACCAUUAUUAUCAUAACCAUCAUCAUCAUCAUCUCUUAUAUUUUGUGUUCUCCUGUUUUCCCCCGCGCUUCCUUUCUUCUUCUUCCUCCUUUUUGUUUUUUUAUCCCUUUCUCCUCUCUCGCUUCCUUCCUAUAUAAACCUCUCUUCCAAUGUUCCUAAAAGCAAAGGCAUUGUCUAUCUAGAUCGACGGCAGCGUGGGGGGUGAAGUUGGUUUUCGCCCCAAGGUGGCAACUUUUACCAUCUUUCUGCUAGCACGCCUGGUAUUAUUCGCUGGAUCUUCUAUUCGCGUGAUAUUAGGGUACCACUUACACCUUACUUGGUUGUUUCCUCCAGAUUAUUCUCUUGACCCCGAGGAAGUUCCUUUUGGUCUCGAGGUUCUUGCUGUUCUCUUGGUGUCACGACAGGUUUUGUCGGAUUAAGCUGAUAAACUUUUGUGUAUGUGUGUUUUUGUGGCUUCGCAUAAUAACGACACAAUCGUACCAAAUUCUUAGGGUUUUGUUUUAAGGCUUCCCUCCGGGUUUUUCCUUGGGACUUCUCGGUUGGGAUUGUUUCUCUACGAUUUUUUUCUCCCGGAACUAGGAGAAGCUUAUUCUGGAGUUACAGUAACUUGCUUUUCAUGGAAACGGUGAAACUCAUUAAAAGAAGUCGUAUCAUAAAAUUUUCUUGAUAUUUAGGUCCGGUCCGACGGAAUCAUAAUUUUUCUUGUUGUUGGUAAUAUGUUGUUUGUAACACGGUGGUAUUGUUAAGACAAAUGAAAAUAGGUAUGAAAAGUGAGGAGAUAGAGAAAUCGCAUGACAUACACUACUCCUAUGGUUAUCUUUUAUUGAUCCUAGCAGAUCUGUGGAACACGUUCGUAGGCGGACUAUAUUUGGGAUUGCCAUCUCUGGCUGGUGGUAGUCUACCAUGGUCAAUUCACGGCAGCUCGUUCUAAUUUUUCAAUAACUUCUUUAAUGAACUGACGGGCUGGUUUAGUGGAGCUUUGAAACGAUCGAAUCGGCUGGGCUUGAUAUGUGGCCCGAGGACUUUUUAUCUUGACAACACAAAUUUGUAGUGUAAUCCAAGUUAUUGUUGGUUUAGCUUUACGAUUCUUUUUAUUCGAUCCUCCAAUAGAAUAAAAGUCCCCAUUAAAUUACAUAAAAACAGGAAAUGAGGGAGUUGUUUCUGUUUUCUCUUCCGGCUUUGUGACACACUCCUAGAUUGAUGUAUUGAGUCGCCUUAACAGCAACUCUCAAUUUUAACACCAAUAACCACAACCAACUGCAGGUUUACCUUUGAAGGACAGCCCUGUCUCUGUUUUCACUGCACAAAGGAGAUGAUAUGUUCAGUGUUGUGAACGAUUAUAUUUCUGGUUUUGCAAAUUAUACUUUUACUUUUCUGCCAAAUAACACCACUUGGUUUGUCUGCCUGCUUGCAGUUUAGUCCAACAGUAUUCUUGAGAUGGGCUGUUUCACAGUCUUGAAAUGCAAGAAAAAGAAAAUUAGGUGUUUUGGAAACAAGAAACGCAUGAUCGCUGCAGAGACUGUUACAUGUGCACUUCCGGAACCAACACAAUCUGGACCAUCCCUCCAGUCUGCCCCUCCAAGUUUCAGAAACAGAACAAAACCUGCACAAUCUGGCCAUCGGAUACUCAACAGCAGAGUUCGGGCACUGUCUGCUCCUUCUACCCUCGUUUUGGCAGACCAGUAUGCUCUUGCUUCACUAGAAUAUGAUGACCAAGAAGAGUGCAAAGGCAGAGGUAUCUCAGUGAAGGACGAACGCUUUUCAAAUCCUUUGCCGCUGCCCCUUCCCUCGCCACAUACUUUCUCUUUGAGGAACUUGGAAAGUUUUAACUUGAACAAUACUAGUGGUCCUAUCGUAUCAUCUGGACCUCUACCAUUGCCUCCAUUAGGGGGAGGAGGCCUCCGGAACUUCUCUUAUGAAGAGAUUUCGGCUGCUUGUCAAAAUUUUUCUGUGGGUCGAUGCAUGUCAGAAGGCCUUUCAACUACAAUCUAUAAAGCUACCUUUGGAGAUGAUAGCAUGAGUUUAAAGAGAAGCGAAGCUACAGUUACUCGUUUACUUCCUUCCUGUCAGGUGAUAUGAACAAGCAUCCUCAUGCAUGUAGUCACACAUGUAGGCUUUUAUGGAUUUAUGAUAGCUGAUACUGAAAUUCAUGUAGGACCGAAAUAAUAGCAAGUGUGGAGAAAAUUUUGCUAUAAUUAGCUUGACCUUUUAAUAAUGUGAUCUUUGUUUUAUUUCUGAAGUUCAACCUUGCCGGUAAUACAAAGUAAUGAUUACAGAGUUUCGGACUUUCUGUUGCCGACAAUACACAUUAAGCACUCUUCCUAAGUUUUUCUUAACUUAAGAUUUGUAUGUAUGCUAUCUUCUGCUGCUUGAAUCCUUGUUGCUGAAAUUUUCAACUCAUUUCAUGUCAUCACAUGGAAUUUAUGUUUUUGCAACUUGUCAUUUUGCAAUCAUAGGUUUGCACAUUUGUGUGAGAAUACGUUGUCUACAUAUUGAUCAAGGAUUUUAAUUUCGAAUGAUACCAUCCGUACCAGUCUGCCAACAGAUCGGUACGCUGAUCGCUCGCUACCGGGCGAUAUCAACUUGGCUACGGCCUGGCUACGGUGAGGGAAGAAGAAACGUCGAGGGAGAAGAGGGAGAAGGCGCUCGAAGAAGAGGGAGAAUCGGGAGAACCUUGAUGCUUCCCAAUCCGACGUCGCCCUCCCUCUACGAUCCUGAUCCAAGAGGUAACGGAGAGGCGACGACUCGGGUCAGUUGAAAGUUUAGUUCCAGAUGAAAUACGAGUUUGGGUCGGGUGCUUGUGUUAAGCAAUGAAAGUUCUUGUGUUGGCUCAAGAAGAAACAAUAUCUAGUGAGGAAUUAGGAUAAGCAGUGGGAUAUCUCGGUUCUUCUUCACCGAAGGCCGGAGAUGCUUGCGGCCUUCGUCGAAGGUCGGAGAUGUGUACGGCCUUCUACGUCGUUACCGAACGUCGCAGAUGAGGAGAAGACCGUGUCUUGUCCUCAUCUAACGUGACGAGGAGAAGAAAAGGAGGCGAUGCCGCCGAGGUAGCAUACGCCUCCCUUUUAUAUAUAUAUACACACAUACUGAGCGGUACACCCUGGCGUACCGCUUGGUAUGUUAGUACCAUACCAUAUCAAGCAAAGCUCGAAACGAUGGUAUGGUACAAAAUUAUGAAUCUUGAUAUUGAUGGCAAAAUUUCAAAUGCUUCAACGAUUGUGCUAUAUAUUUUUGCACACAUGUAUCCAUGUGCUUUUUGCUAAACGAAAAGUACAUUUGCAUUAGCAUUCUAUGGUUAAUUAGUAUUGGCAUCCACUUUGUGGGAUUCCACCUCUUCGCCGCUUAAAUUGUUGCAAUGGUCCAUGCCAGAAGCUGUCUUCUCUUUAUUAAUUUUUUUAUUUUCUGAACUAUGAACACUAAGAUUCUCCUUUUGAUAUAAACUUAAAAUGUUUAUGUUUAUAUUUUUUAGGGUUUGAAGGAGUUUUUGAAUGAGGUGAAUGUACUAGCAUCCCUACAGCAUCCCUAUCUCUGCAAGCUGCUUGGUUUCCAUGCUCAAGAGGGGUCUGAUGAGCGGAUGUUAAUUUAUGAGAGGCUCUAUCAUGGAAGUAUAGAUCGACUUCUUCAUGGGGGAUUAGAUGGUCGAUCCAUGGAUUGGCCUACACGAAUGAAGGUUGCCCUAUGUGCUGCAAAAGGCCUUGCAUUUUUGCAUGAAGAAGGGCCUUUUCAGGUUAGUUCACCACACAAUUUAAUAUACCUCCAACCUUUCCGCAUCAGACAUUGUUUUUUUGUGGGAGUUCUAACUUCUGGUUUGAUUUCGGAUUACUUUGUUAAAAUGACUAGCAUUAGGGACAAUAUUGCUCCAAAGAGAAAUAGUCUUCAGAUGUGUCUCUGACAACCUUGUAAACAACACCAAAUUCCCAUAGUUGUUGACCUUGAAUUUGGUUAGUUAUCUCUCAAAUAUAAUCUUUUAAAAUUACAUUCUCUGCUGAUUAUGUUUUCUACAUUUGAGGAUGUAGCAGAAAGUAGGGUCCAACAUUCUAACAAGAGAUAGUGUUUGCUGGAAUUUUAAUUUUGGGUCUCCAUAUUAACUAUAAAGCACUAUAAAAUUGUAAACUUUGGUUGUGGAAAAUGGAAUGGUGAUAUUUGAGGCUGAUUUUUUAUAAGGUAAGAUGAUUAGAAGUGAUAAAUUUUGGUGGCGAAGGCUGCUCGAAUGUGUUGUUUUUAGUUGGAAAAAGACAUUGUUAUGUAGUAUAUUGAUGGUGAAUGCAUCACUUCUUAAUUCAAUGAAGGGAAUGGGAAGUGAUAUAUGCAGAAGCUGAGGAUAAAAGCAUCAAGCUCUGAUGGCCUUCAAAAUAUGAUGAUAGAUAGCCGAUACCAUAUGAACUACAGAAAACUUCUUUUACUGCAUCUUUGUAAACUAUAAUAACACCAAGGGAGUCAUAGCCUUAAAAUAGUAUUACAAUAUCAUUGUAGUAAGAAGACUUGCCAAAAAUCAUAAAACCUGGAACCCUCUAAAGUACCCUCUAGUCUCUAAAUAGACAUUUGGAUCUUUCUAAAGUGGAUUUCCAGUAGUUUAGGAAUUCUUAUAAUCCAGCCUCUCUGAGAAGUAAAGCUUAAAACUAAGAAUAUUACUUAAAGUAAGAUUGUCUAACACCUAGUAUGAGCUUUUAACAACAUGACCAAUGUCAGAUACUUAGAGCUCAAAUAUAAUGUUGGUUUUCUCUCAUCAACCUAAUCGUGUCUGGAUGAUCGAUCACCUAAUUAAAUUUUUAAAUGUGGGACCAUAGCAGGACUUAGUGAUUACUUUUUGGAAGAAUCCUUUUGUUUGCCUCUUAUUUGAAUAAUCGUUCACCUAGUUUCUGGUUUGUAUUUUCACCAGUUGUCAGAUAGUGUAGACAACUCCGGGUGACAGACCUAUUUUAAAUCCUACAGAGGUGCCAAGGUAGUGACUGAAGUAAAUCUCACAAAAAGGUUUCAUAAUAAUAAUAUUUUCUUUUAGUUAAUACAUAAACAUAAUCAAGAUUUGCUUCCGGUGUUCUAUAACUCUGGUAUUAACAUUGAUUUAAGAAAAGUACUUAGAAGAUAUAUUUUUGUGUGCAAAGGCAAUAUAUGUCAUUAUUAUAAUUGUAUACGUGAAGUCUUUAGAAGGUAAUACAAAUGUCAUAUACAUAAUUAUUAUCUGAAUCCAGGCCAUAAUAAAUGUAUAUGUUAAGUGAAUAGAUAUAUACAUGAUUGUAUAUUUGUACAUAUGUGAUUCAGGUGUGUAUAGAUAAGGCAUCCUGAGACUUUUUUAUCUGCCUGGCAUCCAUUUAUCACCUCUAAUAGCAGUGCAUAUCUGUGCUUUUGUGCAAAGCACAUUUAUCACUUCUAAUAACAGUGCAUAUCUGGUUGGGUCCACAUUAGUACUUUUCUUGCAUGUGAGGGGGAUUAUUUGAGCUUAAAUAUGAUGUUGGGCCCCUUGCUGUUUCAGUCUCUUUUUGGCGUCAUAUAUUAUGUACAUUGGUCCGCAUUUUUUUUAUUGACUUUUUCUAUUCCAAGGGUGAAAAUUUUUUGAGUACUUCAAAUGAAACUUCUGGUGAUCUUGUUUUGUCAAAAGUGCUUAUAAAAUUUUCUAUAAGUUUAGAAGUAGGUAAUUACUGGUUCCAGAACUUUUAUAAACACAGUUCAUUUCCUACCAUCGGACCAUAAUAAGCAAAGUACAGUAUUCCAAUUUAAUGUGGCAGAAUCACACUAGUGAUGACUACCACCAAACACAGUUUCUAAAAGCAAAAGCACACAAACAAAAUAAAUUCUUUUUGUAUUUUAUUUUGUUUGUUAGAUACAAAAUCCCAUAAAGAACGCCAAAUGCAACCUAGUGUUUGCGGUAAUUGUUCACUCAACUAAACUUCUGGGAAACAAAUGAUAUUUUGUAUCAUUAAAAUUAAUGAUUUAUUUUCCAGAAAUUCCUUCUGUGGAAAUGGUUGUGCUUAUUUGAUGGCCUUUUGAUUUUGCAGGCCAUGUAUUAUGAGUUUUCAACUUCAAAUAUACAAGUUGACAAGGACUUCAGUGCAAAGCUAUCAGGAUAUGGAUGUGCAAGCUACAAUCCAGAGGCAGACGUCUCUGAUUCUUCUAUUGUGAGUGAUUUACAUGAUAUAACAAGCAUAAGAACUACAUCCAAUUUGCUAAAUCUUGCUAAAGAGAAAAAAAAAAACAAAAAAGUUGUUUGCAUAGCCAGAUUAAUGAGUGCAAAUUUACUUGCCCCAGAACGAUACUUGCAUGUGACCAUGGUCAGAUUUUAGCACAUCUCUGGGACAUGCUGGACUCAGAGCCUGUUCACCCCAGCACAUUGCACCACACAACAGGUUAUGCGUGCUCAGGACUAUGUUUCAAUCUACCUUAAAAUCUUCUUAUGUUUAACACUGUCAGCAUCGCAGAACUCCCUUGAAAUUUCAAGGAAAUAUAUAAUCAUUGUUUGCAGCUAUCUCAUGCAAUACAAAUCACAACCCAGUUUUCUACACUGUUAAUUUAGUUCUUGGAGUGAUUGAGGCCGUGUAGUUAUCUCAUGCAGCGCAUUGCACCCAGUUUUCUACACUGUUGCAUGCAGCUCUCAUGAGAUACAAAUCACAACCCAACUAUCUCGUCAUGUAGCUUCAUGCUAUACUUUUAUCCUGGUGGAUAAUACAUGCAUCAUGAAUAUGAAGUUUCUUGUUCUACCAUCCUUUUUCUGAAUGUAUCAUUUAGAUGUUGAUCUUCCAUAUGAUUCUGGAACUGCAUUUAUACCUUAACCUCAACAAAAAGCAAAUGCAGUUUUUGAUUUGUUGGACAUCUGUGAACUAGACCUGUGAAAAAUGAACACAGCAGACUGGACUAAGUGUGAAGUAGUAAUGAACAUUACAAAAACCACUGACAAGAUAAUAUACUCUAUGAUUUGUUUCAGGCUACUGCAAACCUAUCAGUGGAGACCUUGGAGCAGGGGUUGUUCACUCCGAAGAGUAAUGUCUGGAGUUUUGGAAGAGUCCUUCUUGAACUGCUGACUGGUAGGAAAAAUCUUGACAACCGCUAUCCCAAAGAAGAGCGAAACAUUGUGAAAUGGAGUAGACCUUUUCUUGCUGAUGAUUGUCGCCUAUCUCUUAUCAUGGAUCCCCGUAUGAAAGGGCGUUUCCCUCCAAAGUCUGCCCGAACUGUAGCAGACGUUGCACUAAAAUGUCUCCGAAAGGAUCCUUCGAAGAGGCCUACCAUGAGGUUCAUCGUCGAAGCACUCAAGGAUGUUCCUGACAUGAAAUGCCCUAGCCGUUACCCCCUCCAAGAACCAUCUGUCAUUGCAGGGAAACGGAUGUGCAAGUCUCCAAGUCUGACUGGCAUCAUUCCACCACAACCUCCUCCCAGUUUCUCAAUUUCACCUCCGUCAAAAAGCCAAUUGUUGCUUUCUCCAAGGACAUCAAUAUCCAUACCUUAUCCGCCUCUUAAGUGCACUACUACACGUGCAGUAGAGGAUAAUAGGAUAAGCAGUAUCAGAAGCUGUUCGCCUGCUAUGCAGAGGCUUGAAGGGUUUUGAUAUGCCUAUAUUGAUUAGUAAUUUGUUGUUUUUGGGUUUUUUUUGUUUUUGUUUUUGUUUUCUGUAUGUUGUGACUUGAUGCAAUAGAGGAUACAAGAUGUAUAUUUUGUUUGCUUAUCCACUCCUAGGUAAAGUAAUGGGGGUAGGAUUACCAUUUGUAGGUAAGCGUUGUGUUGUCAAUGAAUCUAUACCAAAAUUUUGUGUAUCCCCUGUGUAUUGUUGACUGAACUACUCUUCCCCGAGGAGGGAGGGCGAGUGAGUUCCUGUCAAGUCACAGUAUUUUGCGAACGGCAUCGUUUUCAACUUGUGAGCUUGACUUGAGCCCACCAAGCCUUGCUGUGGUUUUAGACAUGGAAAUUGACAGGAUUUUGAUGGUAGAUCGCUUCCUGAUGAAAAGUUGUUCCUAAUUACAUUUAAAGGUACGUAUCCUAUCAAUGGCAGAUGGAUGAGCCGUCCUCCUCCUCCUAAGAGUUGCGACGCUCGUCAAUUUGCUAUUACACCAUCGCUUCCGGCUCAGGCGGUGUUUGUUUCUGUGUCUACGCUGGAAGCCAAGACGAGUGCAUCUCUUCCGUAGACGCCGUGAAUCACCAGAAGGUGAGCCCCCUUCUAUGCAUCUUCUUACGUGAACGAUCCAGACUGACAAUUGCAGUAGCUGCUAGCUAUUGCGACCAUCGAGGGGUGCCGUACCCAUGACAAGCAAGCAUUGUGAUAGUUUGUGCUGCUAGCUAUCAUGGGCAUGGGCAUGGGUAUGAUCUCUGAUACUGGUCCCCGCAGGGCCUGUAGAUGAAUGAACUCGGGGGAGCACAAACAAAAGAUAUUAGCGUUUCAGGUGGUGUUGAAGCCGUUUCUCUUCUGCAGAAAUGAGUAUAAUAUUCGUCGGCUUCUAAGCGAUGACAACAAGUAUGAAAAGUUUCUGCAGAGAAGAGCAAAACCUUCAAGCGGCACCCUUCUUCGUCCGUCACCGUCGUAAACUUUUAGCCAUGAGGAGUAUUUGUUGUCACUAAAAGCAGCUAUUUGCGACGGCAAGUGCAUCCUUCACCAUCUUUCUUUCUAUGGAUGCAUGCGGGAAAUAUAAGGCGAACAUCAAACGAGGAUGGCGGCGACGUCUCUGAGCGAUGGUUUCAUCUGAAGUUGGACAUCCGACUCUCGAGCAGGUCAACGUAAGUGAGGCUUUUAAUUUUUUUUGUCGGGGACCCUCUUGGUGACAUGUUCUGUGCAUGUGCAUGUGCAUGUGCAUGUGCAUGCCUGGCGAAGUUGAGAGAAAGGGCACAUCAUACGGUCCGGUCCCUUAAUAAAGUCAAACGGGAAAGCCACUCCACCUACCACUCUUCCAAUCGCUUUAGCUUUACCUUUACCUUUUCCUUUAGGUGAUAACUUGUCCUUUCUCUUUUAUUAUUAUUAUUAUUAUUAUUAUUAUUAUUAUUAUUAUCUGAAAAGCCGUACCUGCGGCCACCACCACCAGCUCACGGUUCGCUUUACUCGCUUUUUAUCAUGCAAGGGUGAGGGUGGGGGACCCUUGGGACGAGAAGCACUUUUUAAGUCUUCCCUGAGCUGGCAAGGCCUGCUGCUGCUUGUGCCCCCCUUCCCCACAACGAAAGGGAGCGCUUUGCCGGCAUGCAAGUCGUUCAUUCGAUGGAGAUUAUUAUAAGCAAUUAUGAUGUGAAUGUUCCAGUAGCAUACAUGACCUACCUAGUAGUCUUUUCCUUUUGCCAAAAAUUAAAGCAAAAGAACAAAAAAAAAAGAAACAUACGUGAGCUUGCGCCAUCAAGAUUUAUUAUGUUUGUCAAAGAUAAAAAAAACAGUAAUCGCUUCUUCAGGUCAAACUUUGAUCCUUGGGUUGGGGGAUCAACUCACAUCCAACUGUUUUACGCUAAAUAAUCCUCUCAACCUAUUACGAAAGAAAAGCGCAAGUAUCUCCACCCGCUCGAUUGUCCUUUCCACCUUUCCAAGUCCAAAUGCUGCAGGGACGUACCAGGAGACGUACGCCUUCCUUUUGGUCUUCGCUCUUUAUGCCCCCCUCCCCCCACAGCUCACUUUUGCUGCUACCGCGUAUCUAUCUGUAAGCAAAAGAACACAAAUUGAAUGAUCGAUCAGCAGCAUCUGCUUGAAGAGGGAGGGGUCCAAUAUAUAUAUAUAUAUACAUGGCUAACACAGUCCAAAUAUCUGUCUCAUCAUGUUCUACCGCGUAAGAUUGGCAUAUAUAACAUGAUUACUCCCUGCACUGGCUACCUAUUGUAAUAGGAGACUAGAGGUGUCUCGAGGUUGAAGUUUAGCUAGUAACUCUCAUCUCCCACCUCGACAUUCAACCAAUGUGGUGGAGCUCACUUGCACAGCAUCAUACAGCGACGGCGAGUAAAUUAAGGACGAGUUGCAUGAUGAUUUGCUCUCCGCUUUAUUACCUGUUUAAACAUUAACGCUAUCUCAACUCUGUUUACUUGUGUCGAGUGAAUGCAGAGAAUCUCUGCUCAGGUCAACUGGAUUCAUGUUGCCUGUUAAAAGCAGCCGAUGCUCUUUCAGCGGAUUAACGUUUUGUCAGCGCGCUCGGUGGUCGCCGCCAUGGAUGCAUGCUUCAAUUUUUUCUAAGAGAAAAAGCAGGGCAAUGGAGCUCGAAACCAGACGAACACGUGGGAAUGUAAGAUCCCUCCCUCCAUGUCCCACCUCCUCCGUUUGCAACACGGAGCUUCUCGAUCAACUAAUACUUAUCGACCAACUGUUAUACAACUAGGAUGGAUCUUAUCCACGCCUUGAUGGCCACGGGAAUCAUCAUCUUCUGCCACUUAGAUCGAAACAAAUAGACUAGUGCAAAUCCAGCCUAAAUAAGAAACAACCAUCUAAUAGUUGCAAUGAGAAAAUAUAACACCACCAUUAUCUAAAUCACAUGAAGAAACAAGCGUUGACUUUUAGUUUUUGACAAUACAAGAGCCCGGUGAACAGGAAUCCGGCGAUAGAAAGUCCAGCUAGACAAUUUAAACACUUCACAUUCUGCCCAACAUAAGAAACAACCAAAAAACAAAAGGGAACACAAGGCAUUUGCAUUUCACUCCUACUUUUAUAGUUUACUCUCCUCCCCUUCAAUAAGCAAGCCGGAUUCCUUUUCGCCAUAGAACUCAAUCUUCCAUACGAUCUUAUGCUGAGGUAACUCACCUCAUGUCUUGGACUUCAAGAAAAAGCAACAAAAUGAAGAGGCAAAAAAUUCAGAAAUUCAAGUCGAUUCGUUCUCGAGGUGCUCCUGUGGGCAUCUGAUCAUUUCCAAAAUGCUUACGACUUCACUCAUGCCAGGCCGGUUUGAUGGGACUUGCGAUGUACAGAUCAACCCCAACUUCACCACCGGCACACCCUCCUCUGCUGGAAACUUCCCACCGAGCCUCCCAUCCACUAGCUCAUCAACUCUUCCUUCUUCCAAUGCGACCCUCACCACAUCACAAAGCACUACCACAUCGUCCUCCAUGUACUCCACAGGUCGCCUUCCUGUAAUAAUCUCCAGCAGCAACACUCCAAAUCCGUAGACAUCACACUUCUCGGUGAUCUUCACCAUCCGACAUGCAAACUCUGGUGCCAUAUAACCAAGUGCACUCUGAAUUUUGCUGCUAAGCACAUAGCGGUCCAGCAUCGGUAAUAGUUUUGCCAGUCCAUAGUCCCCAACUUUGGCCUCACCUGAGCCGUCGAUAAGGAUGUUGCUUGAUUUGAGAUUGUAGUGGAUUAUGUUCAGCCGAUGUAGGUAAGCUAAGCUUCUCGCGAUCCCAAGAAUAAUAUCAAACCGUUCUUGCCACGAGAAGGGGUUCGAGGUGGAACAUUCAUGCAGGUGCUUAUAUAGGCUCCCACCGGAGACAAACUCGUAUAUGAGGAGCUGCAAUGAUUGCGUCCAAUAGUAACCUUCAAGGGCCACCAGAUUAGAAUGUCUUAGUUUUCCCAGCUUUUUAACCUCCCUUUCGAAAUCUUCCUGCGAUUUCACCAGGCUUGAAACUGUAAGCUUCUUGAUGACCACAGGCCUCCCAUCCCGGAGAUUCGUCUUAUAGACCGUACCAAAGCCCCCACGACCCAGCUCGCAGUCCUUGUUUAGGAUUGUAUGUGCUCGGGUGCUGAAAUUAGGAUCACUCCCGGAGAACAUUACAAGUUUGCCAGAAUUUGCAUCGGUUGAAGGAGAAUUGCUGUAGUAGCCAUCAGACAGAGCAAGGGCAGCAGCAGAAUGGGGGUCAGUGGAGGCCCGGACUCGCAUGUUAAGGAUGGUAAUUGUGAUGACACCAAGUGCAAUAACAACAGCAGCUCCAAUCGCAAUAAGAGCAGAUAUGCUGAAUAUGAUUUUCUUGUGGCGGGUGUUCUUGGAUGAAAGGGAGGUAUUGGCAGAUGAAGUGGAAGAGUUAGGAUUGAGGACUAUAGGCUUGGGAAGAACAGUGGGGCAGGAACGGUUCACGACCGAGCCACAGAGACCAGGGUUGUCAGAGAGGGAGGAAGGUGGAAUGGCAUUGAAGAAGUUUCCAGCAGGGAGGUCCCCAGAGAAGAGAUUGUGGGAUAUGUUGAAGGAGAGGAGAUGGGGGAGAUUGGAGAGCUGCUUUGGGAGGUUUCCACUUAGUCGGUUGAACGAAAGAUCUACUUUGUGAAGGUUGGUGAGGUUGGCUAUGGUUUGGGGUAACGGACCCGUGAGAUUGUUCUGCGAGAGCAUCCUAAAAUGAAACAAUUUAAACAAAAGAGUCAUUAGAACAGGUUUAUGCUGAAAUCUGAUUUACAUUGAGACAAUGAUACAAAAGAGUGAAUUACAAAAAUCACCUCUGAUUUCGCAGGCAAAGUCAAACCGAAAGCUGAAAUAAUACCGGCUAUGUCAAGGAAGAAACAAAAUAGUAUCUCAUGCGACAGGAUUAUCAAUUUCAGAGAGAAAAGAAACAUUACGUUGUAAGCAGUUAUUUGCGUUAUUUAACCACUCCUGAUAAACUAACCAAAGUAACAUCUAAGAGCAGCAACUGGAAAGGGACAUACAUAUUAAGAAAAGCAACAAGAAAGCUACUCCAAAACCAAAUGGAUAAUCCACGCUGCUGUGACCAAGGCAUAAGUGCCCUUUGGCAGAGAAUUUAUACAGAAAAGCAGGAACGAAGACAGGUUGAUCAACGGAGGGCCACCUCCUCUUAUGAUGAUAAGGGCAACAAAUACCAUAAUUCCAGAUCCAACAAUUGGAAAUAUCCUAUCUACCACCAAGCACUGACAAGCGGAAAGAACUUACAUGGUUGUGAGGGAAGAGCAAUUCCCUAUCUGUACUGGGAUUUCUCCAGUCAGAGAGUUCUUCUCCAGCCUCAGCUCCUUCAGAGAGACUGCUUUCCCAAUCUCCAGUGGAAUGCUCCCAUUAAUCAGGUUCCUACUAAGAUCAAGGACUUCCACUGUCUCCAGCGCCAGAAUACUUGCUGGUAUAGAUCCGGAAAGCAAAUUCCAGGACAGGUUCAAUUGCCGCAAGCUCAGAAGAUUCCCGAGAACCAAUGGAAUUGCACCAGAGAAAGCAUUUCCCGACAAAUCUAAGUAACUCAGACUCCGAGUUGCGGAAACUCCUACGGAGAUACAACCGCUCAUUUUGUUCCCGAACACUGAAAUUCGCUGCAACUUCAACUCAAAAACCCAGGAUGGAAGAUUUCCAGUCAAAGAGUUAUCACUUAAAUCCAAGUCCGUCAGGCUUCUACAAGCACCAAUUGAUUCCGGCAAGCCUCCAGUGAGCCUAUUUCGUGACAAAUCCAGACUUUUAAGAAGCUGCAGCUUGCCAAUCGACUCAGGAACUCUGCCGGAGAACCAGUUUCUGGACAAAUCAAGGAACUCCAAGUUUUUCAUUUCUCCGAUCCAUGUUGGAACUUUGCCUGAGAACAAGUUCGACGCCAGCCUCAAGUGACUGCACAUGGAGAGCCUGUGCAUAGAAUCAGGAAGGCUCCCGGUGAGAAAAUUCACACUAAAAUCCAGAUAUUUCAACAGCAAACAGCUGCCCAUGUCAUCAGGCAACCGACCAGAGAGAUGAUUUUGUCGCAAGCUGAUUGACCUCAGAUUGUAUAGCCGACUGAUUCCGCCAGGUAUCUCGCCGACCAGAGAAUUGUCGGAUAGAUCAAGUGAUCGAAGACCAUAUAAGGACCAGAGCCCCUUGGGCAAAGAACCGGACAGCCGGUUUGAGGAAAGAUUUAAAGCCGCCAACGUUAAGCAAGAGCCGAGGCUCGGUGGGAUGUGCCCUGUGAAGGCGUUGUUCGCCAAUGAGAGGGAUCUUAAAGACCUACAUUGCCCGAAAAAUUCAUCCGGGAUUACACCGGAGAGGUUGUUUUCGCUGAGGUCGACAACCCGAAGGCUCUCGAGUUGGGAAAGCUUGGGAUUGAGGCUCCCGGAGAAGUUGUUCUUGGAGAGGUACAACUUCUGGAUGGAUUGGAGCUGGAGGAGGCCCCGUCCGAUCUUUCCCGAGAGGGAGAAGCCAACUAAGGAGAGCUCAGUGACUCGGUUGGUCUUUGCAUUGCACUUGACGCCGGUCCAGCCGCAGGGAUCGUCUUCGUCCUCGUUCCAAGAAGCGAGCUUGGACAGGGGAUCCAGAAUGUCGGCCUUGAAGACAAUCAAGCCGAGCACGUCGUCGUUUAGACCAGGGCUUCCUGAUUUGGCCAGAAGAGGGCAAAACAACAGCAAGGACGCCAGGCAGAACGCCAGAUUCCUCAUCCUCCUGCUCAAUAACAUUCGGGGUAAUGCCUCUGAGACUAGAGGAGGAAAUGGUAGGCCUCGUAAACUCAAAUUCGCAGCCUUCUUGCUCCUUUGAUCGACUUCUCUGCUCUCAAAAUUUUCCUAUGGAUUUAUGGAGGAAAAAGAAUGCGCACGAUGCCGACUAUCGGUGGCUGGGGAUUACAGCGGAUGGAGAAACCGCAAUGAAGGAACUUAGCCAAGAUUUCAUGAAAUGGCCGUCGAUGCAGCUCUCUGCUUCUGGAUGGUCGGAACAAGGUCGAUGAUCGGGUUCCCCCCCAAGACGGCCGCCACCUUGGGACUCGAGGGAAGAUAAGAAAGAGGGAGGAGAUACAUGAUGAGGACGGAGCAAGAAGAUGCGAAAGGCUUGGGUUCCUGCCGAAGAAACUUAAAGGCAAUGGAUGAAGUAGGAACCCCAGGCGACGAUGAUAGCCGCGUAAACGGGGGUGCGGUUUCGGAGAGGGGAUGAGGAAGGUGGCGGAUCUACCAUUAAUAGGGAAGCGGUGAACACUUAUCAGGCGGGGAAUCAAGGGAGACCUCGCCGGAACUCUGGCCGGACAUGAUGAAGGGGGCCGGGUGGUUGGCUCUUCUCGGUAUCUAUUAAAUGCUAUCUAUCAGCACUACUGUUAGCUCUGUUGUUCUGAGUGCCAAAGGUUGGUUUUGUUACUCGCACUUUUUUAUGCUACCAAGGAAAAGUUAGAUUGACGGAGAGUGACUGAGUGAAUGAGCGAGCGAGCGAGCGAGAGAGUGAGAGAGGGAAAAGAGAGAGAGAGAGAGAGAGCCACAGAGGAAGGUCUCUUUUCUCGGUGGAUACAUGGCCAAGGUCCGUGGAAUACUAUCUGACGGACACGUGGAUGCGCCCUUUUGUAGGUUGGCAAGAGUAAAGGGUUCAGAUUGGCCAUGGCGCUCUAAGAUGCGUGCGGAAACCUGUCCAAACAAAACAACAGAGCCUGAGAUGCAGAGUUUAAUAGCAAAUGGUGACUGGGGAUGCGCAACCCAAACCAAUCUUCAAAAUUAACCGGCGGAGAUGCAGUUGAUGGGCGGAUAAAUGCAGCUUACAUCCUCCUCCUGUUCUGGUCGGACACCAUGAUUGCAGCAGCGUCGCGGGCACAAAGGAAAAGUAACCCGCGAUAGGAGCUGGAAAGAAGGAAGCCCUCUCCCUCUCUUUUCUGGGUGCGUUAUAAGAACCUUUAUUCGGAUGGGAUCCUUUCUUUUGUGAGGCAUCCUUCCCAGUGAAUCAAUCAAUUCUCCCUUGCUAAAGGGCAUUCGAUUCACCCUUUUAAUGAUUACAACAACGUUCUUUGGUCUCCCCUUCUCACCCUUUUUCUGACACCAGAUUUUAAAAUUUGAACACCCAAUGGACCGGCCUGGGUGAUGGUCUGUGGAGGUGUUUCUGUGGGUGUUUGUCUCCGAGGUAAGGCUUCCCACGUCGGAUGCACUGCAGUGCAAUAAAUACGGACGCAAUAAAUGAGGCCUGCUUCCCCUAUUAAAUAUCUCCUCCACCCAAAUAAAGAGGCUUUAGAUGGAUGCAAUAAAUGGUGCAUGUCUUCUUCCUCGGGGCACUGUGCGCGGAGGCAGAUGGUUCAUCGCCUGCCUCAGUGUACCCGGAACGUGUUUGGCUGGUCGAACCGAAUCACUCGUGAAUUUUCCAGGGUGACGUGGUUUGUCACGUGUUGGGCGAGGGAGAGAAGUAAACAAAAUUUCUAAAUCAAAAAUAUAUAUAUAUAUAUAUAUAUAUUUAAGAUUAAUAAUCAACGACAUAUCGAAAAGUGAGACAAUACAUUUAACAUAACUUCCGUCCGUCCGUCCGUCUAUAUCACAGAAAAAUCUGGCCUCGUCAUCAAAGAAUAGUUAAUCCCAUCUAGGACCGAGGGGUAAGGUAGAUCGGAAACAAAGGGUUGUUGGUACAAGACAUAAUCCCGCCACAGUCAUCCGAGUGUGUGGCGUCUCUGGCACGGGCGACACCAUUCUGGGUUAUGAAUAACAAACGUAGCAGAAGGUGCCAAGUGGCAUAGAUGAUGACACCUCCGUGUGGCAAAAGGCAGUAUGUAUUAUCAUGUGUGUCGCUCGUGGAUUCCAGUUUUUGAGCAGCCGUAGUAAGACGCACUAGCAGCAUGGCAUCAUGCAUGUCAUGUGGUAGGCAGGCAGCAUUCGUUCAAUCCCAGUACCAUUGGAGUGACGGGCCGGGCCGGGCCGGUUAUUAUCAUUCCACCCGGUCACGGAGCAAAAGGCAACCCCGCACAUGCAGCUCGCCGCUCUUGCUAUUUCAAUUUCGUUGGUUCCUUCUAUUUACAGAGAGAGAGAGAGAGAGGUGAGGGUUCAAUUUUGUCUGGCGCAAACUUUGGGACGGUUAGUCAUUCNNNNNNNNNNNNNNNNNNNNNNNNNNNNNNNNNNNNNNNNNNNNNNNNNNNNNNNNNNNNNNNNNNNNNNNNNNNNNNNNNNNNNNNNNNNNNNNNNNNNNNNNNNNNNNNNNNNNNNNNNNNNNNNNNNNNNNNNNNNNNNNNNNNNNNNNNNNNNNNNNNNNNNNNNNNNNNNNNNNNNNNNNNNNNNNNNNNNNNNNNUUCUUCUUCUCUCUCUCUCUCUCUCUCUCUCUCUCUCUCUCUCUCGAAGGGACAACGUAAAGAAAGAACCAAAUGACCCACAGGACCAAGUGGCUUGUCUUCUCACGGUACGUCGUUUUGCUGUUGGGAAGAUUCUAUGGAACUAAACCGGAGGAGCCAUACUCUCUUGAAAGAAAAUUCCAGAAACACGACAUCAAUCUAGGUGAUAUUCUAUCUUCAAUUUAUUUGCGUGUCUUAUCGUUUUCUUUGCCUUCACUGUCCUUAACCUCCACCUCGCCGUUGACUUGCCAUUUUGUAUAAUAGAUGAUUAAAUCAAAUCAAUCUACCAGUAGCGCAUGUCGUAAUGCGACACAGUCAAGCAUGAGGGUAGGGCCCGUUGAGAGAAGGUCGCAGAGGCGAUAUGAUUCAUUUGCCGGUCUGAGCUCUCAUUGAUGACUCAAGUCUUGUACAGAUUUGGUCUGGGUCAGACGCGAGGGACGGGGACCGGCUUUUGUAAAUGCGAGUGCAAGGGUAAUCAAUGCUGCUUGUUUGACAUCCAUCAUGAGGUGCCGCAGGAUACCAUGACAUUCAAACUCUAGUGUCCCUUCAGUCUCAUAAUGGAUUUGCCCAGCUUUGAAGACAGUGAAAUACCGGUUCUUCGCAACUAUAGGAUGUAAUAAUUUAAAAUUUUAUUAGAUAUUAAAGAUAUAUUAUUAUCAUUCAUCUUGGUAUAAUUAGAGAAAUAUCUUAUGUGCUUUUAUUUAAGUAAAUCUUUUAUCAAUGUAAUUCAAAUUUGGAAAGAAAAAAUUCUCCACGAGAAUCUGAUUAGAACAAGACUCAAGCAGGUAUCGUAUGGAUCGGAUUGUACCAUACUUGGUAUACGAUCUUUGGGAUAUUAGAUGGAUGAUGGACUAUAAAUAUACAGUAAUUGAGGAUAUACAUGUUCAAUUGAUUCGAUUCUCUUACAUCAUCUAGGGAUUGCGACAUAGUAGCCUAGUACAUCCGUAGUCGACGAGUCGAGUGAAUUAUUAUGAAGAUAAUAAUUCACUGAGUUAGAAGGAGUUCUGAUAGGUAUGACUCAUGACUAGCUCGAUAUUUGACCUAGAGGGUCACACACAUAUUGUAGGUAUUACGACGAGUUGAGGUUCGAAUAUGAGAUAUCCGUUGGAGCUCCUAUAUUAUUAGAUAUAUAAUAAGCCCCUGAAUUAUUGGAUCAUAUGGAUGUAAUCAAAUAAAUGUCAAGAGAGAUUAUUGAGUAGAGAUCUACUAAUCUAAGAGGUUUCGGCAGUUGGAUGAAGAUCUAGUACCAAUAGGAUAAGAUCUAUUAUGGUUAAGUUGAUAUGAGACCUCUAUGAAUAGAAAGGAACUAAAGGACCAUAGGCUAGACCUCUUUUGAUUGCUACAUCUUAUUCUCCUCUCCCCCUUUACUUCUUAGCCAACAGCCCCUGUUUGAGACGUGUGGAUAAUAAGAAGGGUCAACCCCUUCUUGAUUUCGCGAUGUGCGUAAAGAGGAGGUUUAUACAGUGAUUUAAGUAGCGUCUUCGUAGCCCUUGUCGUUUGGAUCACUAUUAGAAAGGAUGAUAGCUAACCUCAUUCAUCCUCUCCCAUAUAUCUGUAGGUUUUUAGAGAUAUACGAUCUCUUUAUAUAACAUAUCUUUUAUAUACGUGCAAUUUUUCAGUUUUGUAUUUUUUUGUGCACCAAGCACGAUGACGAGAAACUAUUUUGUAUGAAAAAUUAAAAAUUUUAUUUUAUAUCUUUUCACUGUGCAUGUGAUAUCGCUUUAGGUUUCCGAACACGUAUAUCCCUAAAAUUUUUUAGAUCUAUGAGUAGAUAAAGGAGGUCAACUGUCCUCUUCUCUAGUGGUGAUCCACAUGGUAGAUAUGACGAAGACACUCCUUAAAUCACUGCACGAUCUUUCUUUCUAUGAGCACCAUGUGAUCAAGAACGGGUCGACCCUUAUUACUAUCCACACACUCUAAACUGAGGCUAUCGAUUGAGAAUGAGAGGGAGGGAGGGAGGGAGGAGAAUAGGAAGUGGCAGCUAUGCAGCGAUAGCAAGAAGGGCACUAUGAUCCAAUAAUUCAUGGGCUUAUUGGAUAUCCAAUAAGAUAUAGGCUCCAGCGAAUAUCUCAUAUUUGAAUAUCUACUCAUCACAACACAUACCAUAUGUGUAUGACUCUCUAGGCUGAAUAUCAAGCUAGUCGUGAGUUAUACCUGUCAAAACUCCUUCUAACUCAGUAAAUUAUUAUCUACAUAAUAAUUUACUUGACUCAUCAACUACAGAUAUAUUAGGCCACUACACCAUAGUCCCUAGAUGAUAAACGAGAAUUCAAUCAAUUAGAUCUGUCUAUUCUCAAUUACCGUGUAGCUUAGUCCCUCAUCCAUCUAAUAUCCCAAAUACCAUAUAACGGGUAUGGUGUUGUCAAGCCCAUACUGAAUCUGCUCGAGUCUCACUAUAAUCGAAUUCUAACGGAGAACUCUUUCUCUCUUAAUUCGAAUGACUCUGGUUGGGGAUUUGCUUAAGCAUAACACAUAAGAUAUUCCUCUCAUAACAUUGAGAGUAGAUAAUCCUUUAUUGAUAUUCAAUUACCCUUAUAAGGUUAGCGAAUGUACUAUGUCACUACAUCGUAAUCCCUACAUGAUACAAGAAAAUUCAAUCCAUUAGACCUGUCUAUCCUUAGUUAUCAUUUAUCUAUAGUUCCUCAUCUAUUUAAUAUCUCAAAGACUGUAUACCGAGUAUAGUGCUAUCAAGCCCAUACAACUUUUACUUGAGUCUCGCUCUAAUUAAAUUCUCCCAUAGAACUCUUUCUCUCUAAAUCUGAAUGACCAUGGCUAGGAAUUUGCCUAUGCUAAAAUAUAUAGAAUAUUUCUCUCAUGACACCGAGAGCAGAUAAUUCUCUAUUGACACUCAAUUACCUUCGUAAGGUUGGCUAUUACUCCCGAUGACCAACUGUGCUAGAUCUAAAAUUUUUUGACCUAUAAGUCUGUUAUCAAAGAGUGGAGUACUCAUAUAUGAUAUUCUUAGUGUCUUAAGUCUAAGAAUCAGAUACACAAUUAGGAUGAUAGAAUGAUUAACCAACAAUGAAGUAUCAUCAACUAUCUAAUAAUUUGUAAGUAGAUCAAUCAACGAACUCAUUCUAUAAUGAACACCUGCAUUGUAUCCCUAGUGUUCCUACAUGAGCUGCUAUGAGAUCAGUCACCUCCAUUAUCUAAAUGGGUAUAUAGCAUACUAGUCUAUUCGGUUAUCUCGAUAUCUCUCUCGAGUAACCUACAAUUGAAAUUAUUUAUGAUAUAUGUUUAAAAGCAAAUCGGUAUUAUUAUCGUGAUCUCAUCAUGAUCCGAUUCUCAUUACAUACAUCCAUGGAUAUAAUAAUAUAUGUAAUAGGUAAUAUAAAGUGAGAAAAUACUAAUAAAUAAUAAAUAAAUAAAAAGAGUGUGUAUCGUGUCAUACAUGUCAUUACUCAUGUGAUUGACUUGCAGAGUACCUAUGACUAUUAUAUUAUUAAAAGGUUUGGCAUGAAAAAUUUCAUGAGAGGUAUUAUACCGAUGAGAUAUGAAAUAUCACUUUCUAGGAUUAUAUCCCUAAAGAUACCUAAAGAAAGGAUAAACAUGAAUAUAAUAUCCUAUGUCUCGGCGACAUGAUCUAUCAUAUAUGUUAUGCUAUGUACCAUACCUGAUAUAGCGCAUGCUUUAAUUAUUGCGAGUAGAUAUCAAAUGGAUCCAAGUUUGGAAUAUUGGAAGACAGUAAAGUAUAUUUUUAAGUACUUGAGAAGAACUAAGGAUCUUUUACUAGUAUAUGGAGGAAGUAGCCAUAGGGUUUAGGGCUACACGGACUCUAGUUUCUAAUCCAAUAUUGAUGAUAGCAAGUCUAACUCAAGGUGUGUGUUCAUCCUGAAUAGAGAAGCAGUUUGCUGCGACAGAAGUAGCAUAAGAGAGAGUUUGGAUGAAAAAGCUUAUCAUAGAUCUAAGAGUUAUGUCAAGUAGCAAGGAGUUGAUUACCUUAUAUUGCAAUAAUAAUGGGAUAAUUGCUCAAGCGAAGGAACACAAGUCUCAUAAAAAAUCCAAGCAUAUUCUAAGGAGGUUCCACUUGAUCAGAGAGAACAUGGCCUGUGGAGAUGUAGCAAUGGAAAUAAUUUCAUCUAAGGAUAAUAUUAUAGAUCCAUUGAUGAAGUUGUCAUCUCAUAUUAUCUUUGAGCGUCAUAAGGGUCUAAUGGGGAUCAGACAUAUAGGUGAUUGACUUUAAGUCAAGUGAGAGAUUGCUAGUCAUAGGUGCCCUAUAAGUCAAUCACAUGAGCGAUGACACGUGUGAUAUGUGGUGCAGUCUUUUUUGCAUAUUAUUAUUGAUAUUUUUUAUACUUUAUGUUGCUUAUUGCAUAUCUUAUGAUGUCCAUAAAUUUAUGUAAUGAAAAUCGGAUAGUGAUGAGAUUAUGAUAAUGAGAUCGAUUUGCCUUUAAACAUAAAUAUUAAGUAAUUCCAAUCAUAGGUUACACGUGAGGGACAUCAAGAUAAUCGAAUAGACCUGUGUAUUGUAUACCCAUCCAUUUGAUGGAGGUAGUUAGUCUCAUAACUGCUCAUGUGGAGACAAUAUAAAUACAAUGCAGAUGCUUAUUGAAGAAUGAGUUUACUAAUUGAUAUGCUCACAGAAUGUUAGAUGGUUAAUGAUACCUCAUCGUUUCACAAUAGUUCCGCGGUCUCAAUUAUGUGUUUAAUCCUUAGACAUGAAACACCAAGGAUGUCCUGUAUGAGUACUCCACUCUUUGAUAUCAAACUUAUUCGUUUGGAAGUUCCAAAUCUAGCACAACCGAUCAUCGGGAGUGAUAGCUAACCUUUUCGAUGGCAAUUGAGUAUCAAUAGAUGAUCAUUCGCCCUCGUGUCAUGAGGGGAAUAUCCUAUGUAUUCUUGCUUAAGAAAAUCACUAGCUAGGGUCAUUCGGAUUGAGAGAGAAAAAGUUCUCCGAUAGAAUCUGAUUAGAGCGAAACUUAAGUAGAUUCCGUAUAGGCCUGAUAGCACCAUACUCGAUAUAUGGUCUCUGGGAUAUUAAAUAUAUGAGAUAUUAUAGAUACAUGGUAACUAAGGACAGAUAGAUCCAAUAGAUUAGAUCCCCCUGUUUUAUCUGGGGAUUAUGACGUAGUGGCUUAGUAUAUUCAUAAUUGAUGAGUUGAGUGAAUUAUUAUUAAGAUAAUAAUUCACUUAGUUAGAAGGACUUUUGAUAUGUACGACUUACGGCUAGUUCAAUGUUGGGCCUAGAGGGUCACAUAUAUAUGGUAAGUAUUGCGACAAGUAGAGAUUAAGAUAUGAGAUAUACGUUGGAGCUCCUAUCUUAUUAGAUAUCCAAUAAACCCUUGAAUUAUUGAAUCUUCGAGAUGAGACUCAAUAUAAGUCAAUAAUAGAUUGUUGGAUAGAGAUCUAUUAAUCCAAGAGGUUUGGGUAGUUAAAUAAAGAUCUAGUACCUAAUAAGACAAGAUCCAUUAUGGUUAAAUUGACAAGGACCUCUAUAAAUAGAAUGGAACCAAAGGGGUAUAAGCUAGACCCUUUUUAGUUGCCACCUUAUAUUCUCUUCUCUCCCUCUCCUCCUUAGCCGACAGCCCCAGUUUAGGGUGUGUGGACAACAAGAAGAGUUGGCCCCUUCUUGAUCACGUGGUGCACAUGGAUAGGAAGAUCGUGUAGUAAUUUGAGGAGUGUCUUAAUCGCAUCUGCCGUAUGGAUCACUACUAGAGAAGUGGACAAUUAACCUCUUUCAUCCACUCCUAUAGAUUUAAAAAAUUAGGAAUAUAUGAUAUUCUUAGGUAAUAAAUCUCUCUUGAUAUGCAUUAUUUUUUAUUUUAUGUUUUUUUUUGUACACCAAUCUUUGUAUGACGACGAGAAUCUUUUUCUUUAGAAAAUAUGGGAUUUUGUUUUAUGUUCUUCUACUAUACAUAUGAUACUCUGUUCAAGCUUCCCAAUAGGUCCCCCAUGUUAUAUGCCAAGUGUUUUAAGUGUAUUUCUCUCACUCUUAUAUCAUUUGUCUCGUGUCAAGAUAAAUCUAUUACUGUAGAGGCAUAAGGCCAAAUGUGCCUGAUAUAUGUAAGUCGAGAAAUCUCGAUCCAUGCCAAGAUAAAUUCAUAAUGAUAGAGGUGCAAAGCCAAAUAUGCUUGAGGUAUAUAAGUCAGAAAGCACGACUAGUGCCGAUAUAAAUCUAUUAUGGUAGAGGCACAAGCUAAAUGUGCAUAAGACGCAUGAGUUAGAAAACCCAACUGGAGCUUAAAUAAAUCUACUAUAGUAGAGGCACAGGUCAAAUAUGCUUGAGGUGUGUGAGUUUAGAAACUCGACCGAUGUUGAGAUAAAUCCACUAUGAUGGAGGCACAAGUUAAAUAUGCCCAAGGCAUCUAAGUUAGGAAAGUCGACCAGUGCCAAGAAAAAACCAUUACGAUGGAGGCACAAGCCUAAUGUACCCAAGACACCUUAAUUAGAAAAACCCAACUUGUAAAAUGAGAUCCUAAACACUCCCAUGUUAGAAAAUAUCGAUCAUCGUAUUUCAAAUCUCUCUUGUAAGAGCCUUAAAGCAUGUCUUAGGAGGGGACAAAUAAUAGAGAAUCUAUGAUCGGUUGACACGUGAUUGUCAUGCGAGAUCCAAGUCAUCCUCCAUCUGUCUACGUAUACAAAGAGUCAAAAUAGAGAAAAUAAGCUUUCUUCUUAUUCUUUAUGACAAUAAGGGUAAUCCUAAAACCUAGUCUCUUUUUUUUUUUUUAUGACAAGGAGGAUAAUUCUAAACCCCCUUCUCCUCUUUUAUGACAAGGAAUAUAAUUCUAAACCCUCUUCUCGUCUUUUAUGACAAGGAAUAUAAUUCUAAACCCUCUUCUCCUCCUUUAUAAUAAAAGAAGGUCAUUACGAAAUUUCUUCCCCUCUUUUAAAGGUAUAAAAGCAUAUCCUAUAGGGAAAAAGAGAUGAACUCACUCUUUUGAACUACUCAAAUCAAUAUUUGAGGAUCUCAUAUUACUAAUUAAGCAUCGAAAAGAUUGAGUCGAGAAAUCCUUCUCGACCUCGAUCUUCAUGCAGUGAAACCUUGGGAGUACGGUAUUUUUAUCUUAAGAGCAUGGUAUUUUCAUCUCAGAGAUAUCUCGGACAAUCUGAACCAUAUCAAACUGAUCAUAAACAUCAAUGAUAUUUUUUCCUACCAAAUUUAAAGAGUAAUUGAGUUAUAAGGCAGAGUUCACCCACCCUUGUACCCAUGGGUGUGGCUGAUCGCUUCGAUCAUUAACUGAAUUGCUGUCGAUAAGGUGGUAGGCCACCCAUCGCUUGGGCCAAUUAUUUGCGUUCUUUCGGCUAUCUUCACCAUGCAUCGACUAGUUUUCAACCACCGUCGCAAUUAGCUGAGCUUUCAAAACAUCGCAAACUUAAUCAGUCGAUAAAUGUUUCGUAUAAUUUUCUCAAAGGAAGUGACAGUUAACUUUAUGAUGAAGCUCUCGUCAAGUGAGAAGGGAAUAGUUGCAUCUUUUGUUUUCUGGUAAGAGAAAAGUGAAACAAAAUCACAUCUAUGAUAUUCUAUCAAACAUCUCAGAAUACAAACAAGAUUCGUAUUUAUAAAAUUAUGUAAAGCAUCUUAGAAUAGAAACUCGUCAUUCAAGUACUAUUAUUCGUACUACAAAAAGAAGCAUAUCAAUUGAUUAUUCACUAGUUAGAAUAAGCGAGUUUCAUGUCUUCGACCAACUCUAAAGAUGCCUCUCACUCACACAUCGAUCAGUUGCUAUCUCUUAGUACAUACUCUCCACCAUCGUCUUCAUAUAUGCAUCCAGUUCAAGGGAUUCCCACGUUGAUUCUAAGUUCAAUAACCCAUCCUUCAUAUCAAAUGUGCCGGAGAAAACUGAUCCUGUCACUUCGGAGGGUAACAGAUGCACCAGCUCUUGAUCACCGAACAAUGGGAUGCUACGACUCUGGCUAUGGUUGGGCGUGACAGCCAAUGGAGGACAAAGGUGCUGGUCUUGGAUGACGAAGGAGCUCGGUCUACGGUGGUCAUACGACGCUGCUGAGUUUUCAACAAGUGAUUCCAUCACGGAAGGGAAGUUGGUCUCGACGACGUUCUUGCAGGUGUGUGUCAUGGUAUAGACUACGAGAUAGUUGGGUGGAUCUGCAUCGCUAUCAUCCUUUUGCACCGUCUUUCUUGCUUGGCACCCUUGAUCUGUGCUGUAAGUGCACCUGAAGUAGCUUCUGUAGAGAAGUGUAUAUUUAGGAUGAACCGAUUAGAAAUGCAUUGUGGAAACCACGCGAGCAGGGAAAUUGCAUCACUGAAAUCGGAAACAUUAUGAAAUAGAAUCAUAUGGCAAUUGCCGUUCACGAGGAGAUGUAGAAACUCCCUUUCUGAAGGGGAAUUGAAAUUCCAACAAAUGAGAUGAGUCGACAAAAACUCGGCGGAAGAGCUUUUCAGUAAUAUAAUUAAUUAUAUUUGUUUGCAUAUCAAAAUCAUUUUUGAGUAGCAAUUUUCGUAUGAAAGUAUAUGCGUAGCCUUGUGAAAAAAAAAGACUUGGUAUAUGUCAUAUGUCUCUCCGUGUGUAUGUUUCGACAAUUUUUUUCUCAUUCCGGUUCCAAUUAAUUUCAGUUCAGAUUCUCAUUUAGAUUUAGUUCACGCUACGUGCAUAUUCUUUCUUUCCAACGCUUCAAGUAUAGUUUAGGUGGACAGGGGUGUGUAUUUUUAUGGAUUAAAGAAAAGAAGCCAACAAUAUGAGCUUACCUUGGAUGUUUGGAACCGUGGAUCAACUUCUGCCCAUACUUCCUCCACUGAUGGCCAUCAUACUGGACUGAUGUGACUACCGAGUAAGAGUUUUCUUUCCUCCUGCAAGAACAAGUUGAAACUUCCGUGAGCGCUUGCUUGAUCCCUUUUGUUUUUUUUUUUGCCCUUGUUAUUCUCCUUUGAGGGCAUAAGGAGAUUGUUUCGAUUUAUAUUAUCUUAAGUGGAGCUUUAUCACAACCAUUUAACUUCCUUCUACAUUGAACUAUUCGAGAUAUUUUAGGCCAAGCAAUCGAGGUGCGUGACUAUGGCAAACCGUACACGAAGGUUGGAAAUAGGUUUUGUGAGUGCAGGGGGUCAAAACCCACCUCUAACUAAUUCUCUGUGCUAUUUCUUGGGUUCUAUUCAUUUUCCAGAUAGAAAGCAUUAAGAAUUGGUGUGGGGUACAAGUAUAUGAUGUCGUCUCUACGGACACCAAUCAGUCUAACAAUCUAAAGAUUAAAAACGCGUUUCCUCAUCGGAUGCAUUAUUGUGACAACGAACCAUAAUUUGGUAGAUGUCAAAGCUGGAUGUCCCACUGGUGACAAUGGACGAAAGCUGAUUCGUAAACCUAGAGUUUUCGCAGAAGCACCUGAGCUCCCAGAUAUCUAGAUUCUCAAAGGAUGUAGCAACAAGUACGUAGCUAUGUUUCUAUGGGCCGGAGAGGAGAGAGGAAUAGGCGAGUCGACGCCGGUGAA
This 47569-nucleotide long non-coding RNA is filed under the name Musa acuminata (dwarf banana). RNAcentral's name for it is "long non-coding RNA (MACU_LNC002965)". Lineage: Eukaryota; Viridiplantae; Streptophyta; Magnoliopsida; Zingiberales; Musaceae. The record is from RNAcentral.